UGACAACUCCUCGUUUACUAUUACAUUUCGGUUAUUUUUUCAUUUUCACACUUUCCAUUAUUUUAUAACAUGUUAUGACGUCAAAAAGAAAUUACAACACGAUAUAGUGAAAUACAAAUGAUAGAACUAUUAAAGUGGCAUAAUAAGAUGAUGAUAGAAUCUGAUCCGAUAUACUACAGCAAAAAGAUAUUUGUCACUGGUCAUAUUUUUUUAGCAUAAUAAUAAAAAGAUUAUGCACACAUUGUGCUUGGGUAUGCCUAGAUAUUCUAAGCAAGUCGGUCAUAAAUACAAAUAUAUACGUUCUGAAAAGGCACCAAAGAGAUAUCUAGCAACCUCCACCACCACCACCACAACCUCCUCCUCCACCACAGCCGCCUCCACCGCCAGACGCUCCAGCAUAUAUAUGGUCUAUGUUUCGUCUCAUUUUUUAGAUUUUUUUUCAUCGGUGCAAACAAAUACGGCCAUGGCUACUAUGGAGACGGUGGCUGCAACCGCCAAUAUUCCCCAAACUAAACCAAAGCCACUGGUUGGACUUGGAACGUCGGUCAAUAUGCUUCUCACCAUAUUCUCCUGUGUAUAUUUUGUUAAGUUUGAUAUUUUGGAUUCGGUUUUGGGUAAGGAUUUUUAUAUGCUUUUUAGAUGUGAGAAAUAAAAAGCAUUAUUUGUAGGUAAUUCUUUGAAUGGACAAUGUUGGGUUACCGCUUACGUUACGUGUGUCGGUAUGUGGUUACGUAAAAGUAAUAUGUAAAAAUCUACUGGUUUCUUUGAUGUCAUAUAAGAAAAUUUUGGUUUAUAUGAGGUGGCUACUUUUCAACGUGCUUUAAGAUUUGGUUCAAUAUAAGCGAUGCUUAAAAGUCUUAUGAUAAGGUCCCUCUGGCUACUUUUCAACGUGCUUUAACAUUUGGUUCAAUAUGAGGGAUGAUUAAUAGUCUUAUGAUAAGGUCCCUCGACUUUGGUACAUGGAUUGUCGUAAUCCAUAUCUUGGAAUAUUUUGUUUACUAAUUCAUUAUUUGGCUUUUGAAAGUUUGAAACAAAUUUUUUUUUUUAAAAAAAAAAAAAAAAAACAGACUACGCAUAAUAUUAGAUUCUCAAUUUAGUUGAUAUUCUUAUGUACAGACCUUUGGGGAACCAAUCUAUUUAUUUUAGGAGCUUGAUAUAGUUGUUAGAUUAGCAAGCAUGUUCUAUAUAUAGAUUGGUUGGUAAGGUAAAUCAGUCAUAAUCGGUGAAGACCUAAGGUAUAUUCUUCUUUUUUUUGGUCAAAACCUAAAAGUAUAUUCAUUUUCUAAUAAAAAAACAUUUAUUAUGAAUUUAUGAUAGAUAUUUGGCUAGUGGAUAGUGGUAUAUGCUCGUAUUCAUAUAAUAAUCGAAUGAUGUUUGUAUACAUGUAAGUCGUCCUCAUUUAAUUUUCUAAACCAAAACCAAUUAUGAUCAACGAGAUUUUGGUUUUUAUAUGCUGAAUUCGCUGAUCGUAUGUAUUCGUAUAAUAGUCAAAUGAUGUUUGUAUACAUGCAAAACUUCCACAACAUAUAUCUUUAAGGUGAAGGUAAUAUCGGUCGCAUUUUCAUUCUACAUUUCGUUAAUUUUUCUUUUAUCCAAUUCCUAGGUGGAGGCCAGAAUUUCUGAAAUAUGUUUCACACCGGCUUUAUAUUAUAGUAGCUACGAAGAACAUAACAACACAUUACUAUACUAUCAUAUUUAUCUAACAGUAUUAUAAUAAUAAUAAAGAAGAACUUAUAACAUUAUAUAUAAAAAGGUGAAGUCUCAUUUUUAUUAGAGUUUACCUUGGCGUCAUUGUAGAAAAUUCCUAAAAUCUAAUAGAUUUGUCAUUUUGAUUAAAAUUUCGUUCUGUUUAUAGGUUCUUGGUACUCCAACUACAAAGAAAUCAAAGACCACUGAUGGAUACUAUCUCGACACGGAGGCAGACGACAGCGAAAUUGAAUUAAACGUUAUCGAUUGUUGGCUUUUGUUCCUGAAGCAAGCUUCUCCUUUGAAUCUCUGUGUACACUACAAGAAAACACCUGUUUAACAACGAUCCUAAACGUCGCUAAAUCGUUGUUAAACAAAGUUUAGAUCGAUUACGACGAAUCACAUUGUGAUUCGUCGUGAAUCGAUCAUCGUAAAAUGCUAAAUCGUUGUAAAUUCGUCGGCAAAUUUACGAGAAACAAAAAAUUGUCAUUAAAAUCGUCAGGGAACUUUUCGUUGCAAGUUCGAUGUAAACUUAAUGAUGAUUUUACGACGAUUAAGUAUUUGUUGUUAAUUCAUUAGCAAUUCGAAUCUAACAAUUCGUCGGUAAAUCGUCAGUAUUUUUAAAUCGUUGUUAAUUCAUUGUUAAUAAUUCGUCGGUAAUUCGAUAUUACAACGAUUUAAGGACGAUAAUAAAUAUAAUUAAAUUAUUUUAAUGACUACUGAUUCUCCAGUUUCCAAGCACUUCGCCUAGAAUGGUAAGUUCAUAAAUUAAUCAGAAAUAGAAGAAAAAAACUAUUGCCUAGAAUAGCUAGCAGUGACAAGCACAAACGUUAUCUGGAAUACAAUUCCAAAAGAUCUUGUUCAUCCAUCGGAUUUCUUCUCGAAUUGGAGUAUCAUGAACCUGUUCCUCAAUCCCUUCUGUAAUGAGCUGUCAAGUCCAGCUGUCUUAGCUCUAGAAUCAUCUAUUGUCUGUAUAAAUAUGAAGUGAUGUAGAAACCCUAAUCUAUAAACUUAUACACUCCAAAACCAGACUUCCCCACAUCAGGCUAGCAAUUUGAAAUCUUAUAUAAACCAUCAUAGACAUAAACCUUAGAGCUAACAUUGUUCUCUAAUCACCCUUACCUCAAUAUCAUGGUACCUACUCCUCUACCUUGCUAGAUUCCCACUUUCUAGCUAUUUGUUUAUGUUGACGUUUAAAUUGCAAAAAAAAUAGUUGGCUUUUCAAAUGUUUUUGGGAUUAGUNNNNNNNNNNNNNNNNNNNNNNNNNNNNNNNNNNNNNNNNNNNNNNNNNNNNNNNNNNNNNNNNNNNNNNNNNNNNNNNNNNNNNNNNNNNNNNNNNNNNAAAUAAUACUCAUACCAUUGUCUAUGUCUAGUGUUGAAAGAGAUUUUCCAAUAAUCUAUUACAUAAAAUAAAUUUAAUUUACGAAAGAAAAAUUCGGAAAAAAAUCUAUACAUAUGUUCAUUUUAGUUAAACUAUGGCUAAUCCGAUCAAAGGGUUUAGAAGAAUUUGUUGGAAAGAUGAUUUUUUGCUAAGUAAUGAGAGGUUUAUUGUAAACUGAGAUUACAUGUACUUGUACGCUUUCUUAUUUGUAAUAAGUUUCAUCAUUACUAGAAAGAAUCUUGGUUUUGUUGAAUUCUUCAUUAGUUUCCAUAGUUUAACUAAAAUGAACAUAUGUAUAGAUUUUUUUCCGAAUUUUUCUUUCGUAAAUUAAAUUUAUUUUAUGUAAUAGAUUAUUGGAAAAUCUCUUCAACACUAGACAUAGACAAUGGUAUGAGUAUUAUUUUUCUUACCACACAAAAUUGGUAAAGAGUCGUCUACGAGUGGGAAAUACAUACACUUAUGCUAUUUUUUAUAACUAUUUUUUCCAAUUCAGAAAGAGUGGUUGAGGUCAAUAUACAUAGUUGACCAGUUUAAUAGGUAUAUGGUAAUGUUAUUUUAAAAAUUAGAAAAGUAACAAAGAGAAACUUUUUUAAGCCAUUAAGGUCCUUCUCUCUUUGAUUUAAUUACGUCAAUGCCAUUAUAAUAAAAAAAUAUUCUUAUAUUAGUUUCUCAGUACCACUGUUCAUCUACCGUAAUGUUAUUGUUCAUUUUUGCCAAAAUUUGAAUAAUAAGUUAACAUUUAAUAAAAAAAAACUAUUUGGCUAAAAUGCUAAAAGUUAUAUAGUAUAUUAAUGUGCUAACAAUAAUAUUUGAUAUUAUUAUUAACCUGCUAACAAUAGAAUUAUACCGAUAACAAUAGUAAAGUAUUGGUUUGUGUUGUUAACAAGUAUUAUUUUUAUUAUUAGCAGGUUAAUAAUAAUAUCAAAUAUUAUUGUUAGCACAUUAACAAAUAUUAUAUUUUAUUGUUAGCUCGUUAACAGGUCUCAUACAUAUUGUUAACACGUUAUAAGUAUCAGAUAUUAAUGUUAACAUGUUAACCAAAUAAUUAUCCAGUAAAUUUUAACUAUCAUAAUAUGCUAACAAUGUACCUACCCUACUGUAAUCGCUUAAAUUCUAAUUAAUGAAGAAGAUGUUCAAAACAAAGUAAAAAAUAUUUGUUUUUUUCUUUACAAAGUGAAUAACAUGAUAACAAUGAUUACAACAAAUUACAUAGAAUUAUAUCGAUAACAAUGACAUAUUAUAUGCUAACAUUAGUAUCCAUUGAUAAUACCGUUGUGGUGGUGAUGGUGACCAGAGACGAUAUAUACCGGAUUGUUUAAUUCUAAUUUGAUCGGCUUUAAAGAGUUUCCUACGAAAAUCAGACAAAUCGAAGUACAAAUUGGACUCGUUGAACUUGAAAUCUGAAUCAAUGGUGAUGUGGUAAGAUGGAUCUGCGGGAAGAUAGUGAUGACUCAGCCAUGAGUACUGGAUUUUUGUGAACGAUUUUCAGAUGAUAAAGAAUAAAAAAUGGUGAGGUGAGAGAAUAUGUGAGCAGAUUUUUAACUUUAUUUUUUUGCAAAAAUCUGCGAAUGCUAUCAGAUGUUACCCAAAUUAAAAAUCGUGUUAUCACUAGGCACUAUGUUGUAAUUAUAAUUUCUAUAUCUGAUGCAGUAACAAUAUUAAUCUUCAAAAAUUGGCUGUCCCAGUUAUUUGUUAAGGGGAUUGUGAGGUUAUCAACACUUUUCAGUAUUCACUUCACUGCUAAUAAUAUCAUCAAGUAAUGAAAACUAAUUACGAGAUUAGCAUUCUCAUUGGAACAUAACACCUAUGCGCUGUAUUCGCGAGUGGGUCCUCCUGGUAUCUUUGAAAGAAUUCUGAAGUUUAGACACAGUAGGAGAGAGGAGAAAAAAAAGAGAGAGUCUUUACUAUUCUUCAGUGUGGGAGAGAGAGAGAACGAAGAGCUGUAAAGCACAUGACCUCUAUACCAUUGUGGCCUCAGCCUCCGAUACAGCUCCUCAGCCGCUGCAGCUUCGCGACGGUGAUGCUUUGAAACAUCGUCCCGAUAUACAGACAAGGUUUUGUUUUUUACCUUUCUGUUUGUUUGAGUCUCUCUUUCUCUGUUCGAUCCUCUUACGUCUAUGUUUGGUAAACUAUGCAUUUCAAUCUUACGUAUGGUGGGUGUUUCUAGAUCUCGGCUAGAUCUAGCUCCGGGUUUUCUUGUUUCGGUGUCUCAGUGAAUCGAUCUGUGUUCUUGGGCUCGUUCGUGUUGUUUUCUGAUUUGAGCUCACACGAAGUGGCUUUUCUCAUCGAAGAUGGCGAAUUUGACUUGAUAGUAGCUAGUCUUAAUUUUUUGUAUUCAGAUGAAAGUUUCAACCUAUUCCUAGUGAAGACCCUGAUUCAGUAGUAUUAACCUUUGAAGACAAAAUAAUUAGGUUACAGAAAAUUUAAGAGGAAGAACACGAUGAAGAUGCUUGUUUUACUGAUUAAUUUGGUUUUUGCCCUUUCAUCUAUUAAAUAUUUCCUCGGGUGAAUUUUAUUACUUUAUUUGGCUUUUGUUAUUCAUAUUCGCUUGUUUGAUUCAAAACUGUUCACUCCAAAAAGUACUUGUGGGUCUUCGAGUUUUAAUCCUGACAGGUUUUGUAGUCUUCGUGUAAUUAUGUGAUUCUUGGCCCAUUCUUUCUUUUUGCAGUCUGUAUUGAUUCUGAACUCUCUUUUGUUUUGUUGUGUUCUUUUGGUCUGUUCUUCAUUCUUAAUAGUGUUUGUUCCAUGGUGUGUAAUGAUUGUAUCUUUUGAAUGUACGGAUUUGAUGUCCACAAGAUGUUGACAUCCUAAUGUUGCUGGGUUUGAAAGCUAUUUAAAAGACCAUAUGCUUGACAUAGACUGAGUGAAGAAGGAUUCAAAUAAUUUAGAUUGGUUUUUCUAUUGGUUAUUAUUUUGUGAUCUGAUGUUUAUUAGGGGAGAAAUCACUAAAUGUUACCAGUUUUCUUUAUUCUUUGAUGACAAGAAUAGUUUAAUGCUUGUAAUAAUAUGUUCUUGUUUGAUUGCAGGUAAUGUCUGCUGCUGUUAUAGAGGGAAAUGAUGCUGUUACCAGUCACAUCAUUUCCACUACAAUUGGAGGCAAAAACAGUGAACCUAAACAGGUAGGAUUAAAUCUACAAAUAAGGCAGUUAUUGCUCAUGAAUUCGGUGCACACUACCAUGUGUAAGGUUACCUAAGUUUUAGGGUUAAUACUUUGUGGCUCAUUAAUGCCAACUUUAAGUAGGCCUAUUAGCUUAUGUUUCCUCCUUCUACCUUUUACAAACAAUUAGUUACAUGGCCGAGCGGGUUGCUAGAACAGGAUCUUUCGGAAUUGUAUUCCAGGUAUUUUUUGUGCUUGUAGCUUUUAUAGGCAAUAGCUUUUUUCUUUCAUUUCUGAUCAAUUUAUGAACUUACCUUUCUAAGAGAAGUGCUUGGAAACUGGAGAAUCAUAGCCAUUAAGAAGGUUUUGCAAGAUUGGUUCUAUAAAAACCAUGAGCUGCAAUUAAUGCGAAUAAUAAACCACCCUAAUGUGGUUUCUUUGAAGCAUUGUUUCUUCUCUACAACGAGUAGAGAUGAGCUCUUCCUCAACCUUGUUAUGGAGUAUGUACCCGAGACUUUGUACCGGAUUUUGAAGCACUAUACUAGUUCAAACUAGAGGAUGCCUUUUUUUAAUGUCAAACUUUAUACAUACCAGGUAUGCAUUGUUAUCUGCCACAAAUAUUCUUGGUUUUUCUUAUUGAUCCUGAAACGGGUUAGCAAAUAUUUUGUGCAGAUCUUCAAAGGCUUGGCUUAUAUCCAUACUGCUCCUGGUGUCUGCCACAGAGAUGUGAAACCACAUAACCUUUUGGUAAGUUGAUCUAUUGUGUUUGUCUUCAGUAACCAUUACUAGACUGUAAUCCAAUUCUCUGGUGCGUUCUGUAGGUUAAUCCCUUCACUCAUCAGUGUAAUCUGUGUGAUUUUGGAAGUGCAAAAGUAUUGGCAAGGUUUUACCUUAUAUAUGCUGUUUCAUUUAUUUUUCCACUGCUUAUGUGUUCUGUCUCAUGAAAUCAAUUGCAUUUUAUUUGUUUUCAUGAUCUUUGCAACAUGUGACUAUUCACUUCAGGUGAAAGGUGAACCAAACAUAUCAUAUAUUUGUUUUCGGUAUUACCGAGAUCCAGAACUCAUCUUUGGGGCCACAUAGUAUACAUCGUCCAUAGAUAUAUGGUCUGCUGGUUGUGUUUUGGCAGAGCUCUUUCUUGGUCAGGUUAGUGUAACUGUAAACUAUUUAUCCAUUAAGUAUCUUGAGAACUAAAGCAUUUCUCCAAUAUCUUUGAUAAUCAAUUGAUAUUACUUAUCUUCAGCCGUUAUUCCCCAGAGAAAAUNNNNNNNNNNNNNNNNNNNNNNNNNNNNNNNNNNNNNNNNNNNNNNNNNNNNNNNNNNNNNNNNNNNNNNNNNNNNNNNNNNNNNNNNNNNNNNNNNNNNNNNNNNNNNNNNNNNNNNNNNNNNNNNNNNNNNNNNNNNNNNNNNNNNNNNNNNNNNNNNNNNNNNNNNNNNNNNNNNNNNNNNNNNNNNNNNNNNNNNNNNNNNNNNNNNNNNNNNNNNNNNNNNNNNNNNNNNNNNNNNNNNNNNNNNNNNNNNNNNNNNNNNNNNNNNNNNNNNNNNNNNNNNNNNNNNNNNNNNNNNNNNNNNNNNNNNNNNNNNNNNNNNNNNNNNNNNNNNNNNNNNNNNNNNNNNNNNNNNNNNNNNNNNNNNNNNNNNNNNNNNNNNNNNNNNNNNNNNNNNNNNNNNNNNNNNNNNNNNNNNNNNNNNNNNNNNNNNNNNNNNNNNNNNNNNNNNNNNNNNNNNNNNNNNNNNNNNNNNNNNNNNNNNNNNNNNNNNNNNNNNNNNNNNNNNNNNNNNNNNNNNNNNNNNNNNNNNNNNNNNNNNNNNNNNNNNNNNNNNNNNNNNNNNNNNNNNNNNNNNNNNNNNNNNNNNNNNNNNNNNNNNNNNNNNNNNNNNNNNNNNNNNNNNNNNNNNNNNNNNNNNNNNNNNNNNNNNNNNNNNNNNNNNNNNNNNNNNNNNNNNNNNNNNNNNNNNNNNNNNNNNNNNNNNNNNNNNNNNNNNNNNNNNNNNNNNNNNNNNNNNNNNNNNNNNNNNNNNNNNNNNNNNNNNNNNNNNNNNNNNNNNNNNNNNNNNNNNNNNNNNNNNNNNNNNNNNNNNNNNNNNNNNNNNNNNNNNNNNNNNNNNNNNNNNNNNNNNNNNNNNNNNNNNNNNNNNNNNNNNNNUUCAAAAUGAAGAAAAUAACCUAUAAUUCCUGGGGGGGGGGGGUUAUUGGGGAGUACACGUUUUCUUAUUGGGUAACAAGUGAUAACAUUGCAGAUUUUAAAAAAAAAAAAUAAGUUAAAUCAAUUUCUCAAUUUGGAAAAAAAUUAAAAAAAUCUCAAAAAGAAAGAAAAAAUUUAUAAAAAAAAACAGCAUAUAUGUAUUUCUACUUGUAAACAUUCUUGAGUGGUGGAAAAAAUAAUACUCAUAUUUUUGUCUAUGUUUGGUGUUGAGGAGAUUCUAUUACAAAAGAUAAAUUUACUUUUAUGGAAGAAAAAUUAGGAAAAAAAUCUAUAUAUACAUUGUUCACUAGACCUAAAACUAUGGAAACUAAUGAAAAAUUCAAAAAAAUCAGGAUUCUUUCUAGUAAUGAUGAAACUUAUUACAAAUAAGAAAGAUACAAGUACAUGUAAUCCCAGCUUACAAUGAACCUGCUCACUACUUAGCAAAAAAAAUCUUUUUCCAACAAUGUUUUCUAUUAUAGUUGGAUUUUUUCCCCUAUCUGGUUAACCCCUCUACUUCAUUGUAAACUUUGUAUAUUCUUCACUUUCUGGUCAGUAUAUAUGCUUCUUGUAAAAUUACAUGUAAUCCCAGUUUCCCACUCCAAAACCAAACUUCCACACAUCAAGCCAGCAAUCUGAAAUAUAAACCAUCAUAGACAUAAACCUUAGAGCUAACACUGUUCUCAUUCUUAAACCCUCUAAUCAGCUGUACCUCAAUAUCAUGGUAUCUCCAUGUGUCUUUAUCAUCCUCGUAAUUACCUGAGACGAUAAUGCUGGUGGCUAUCGGUUCAUCUCUCCACCGAGCACAGUUCAUGACGGUAAAAGAACACGUCGCCGAUCUCAACACCACUGAUUGAACCCACUAAGUAUUUACCCUGGGGUUGAGAUAGGCGACAUGUUCUUUUACUGUCAUGAACUGUGCUCUCAGUGGGCUUACACAGCCAGCUACAACGUAGCUCCAAAGGUGAACCGAUUGCCACCAGAAUUGUCGUCUCAGGUAAUUUGAGGAUGAUGAUGACGUACGUGGCUUUUUACCUUAGUCCCAGCAAAGAACCAAAUGUGCUAUUACGGAAACUACUCAGUUACAGAUGGUGAGCUUCACGUUCAGUUCAUCGACGACCCAUAGUCCAGGCUUAGCUCCGAUAACAAGGGAACAUCAAAAGAAAAAAAAAACAUUAUUGGAGCUAAGCCUGGACUAUGGGUUAGCAGAUGAUCUGAACGGGAAGCUUGCCAUCUGUAACUGAGUACUUUCCUUGUUUCUGUAUUUUUCUUUAUGUCUUUACUAAGAUAGCUCUCCUGGAUGCUAUAGCUUGAGGUAAUUUCUCAAAUAAAUGUUCUUUCUACAUCUCUUAUCAUAUGAGUCUCAAUGUCUGUACCAAUUGCAUACUCACAUGCCAAAGUCUUUACUAUAUUUGAGUAUUUCCGAAAUUUUUCAGUAUUCUCCCUCUCUGUUUUGCUCCCAUGGCAUUUCUGUCUUGCUUUAGCUAGGGUUAAUAUCUCAAAUCAAUGUUCUUGCAACUCCCCAUCUCUUAUCAUUGGAGUCUCAUUGUCUGUACCAUUUGCUAGUUCACAUGCCAAAGUUUUACCGUUUUAGAGUUUUCCAUAAAUGCAAUCAUUUUGUAUUCUCUCUCUCUCUCUCUCUCUCUCUCUCUUUUGCUCCUAUGGCAUUAAUCUGUUGCAACAAUGAUGCAGAUGGAGAAUAUUUUGACAAAACAUAAACCUUUCUCUGCUCGUUCGCUGUUCUGUCUUUUCUUCUCUCUGCGAUAUCUGCAAGGCAAGAUAAAUGUUAUUUCUACAUCUCUUAUCAUAGGAGUCUCAUUGUCUGUACUUGCAUGCUCACUUGCAAAAGUCUUACUAUAUUUGAGUAUUUCUGAAAUUUGUUUGCUUGCUAAAUUAAACCAAUCGCAUUCAGUGAAGAAUUAAGGUAGAUUCCAUUUUCAAAACCAGACCCAUUUAUUGUGAUAGAUAAAUACAUAUUUGGUAAGUUACAAACAAAAGAAAUGAAAAUUGCCGUAAGUAAAAAGGAAGAAGAAAUGAAAUAUCUAUCACACUACAAGACAUGUUUGGACCACACAAAAACUCAGGGUUUAAUAGUUUGAUCGUGUGUGGUCAAAAUAACAUCUUUUUGAUUUUUUACUUUUACAUUUGAUCUAUAUUGUGUGGUAUCAACCAAUGUUCUAUUUGUUUUACAAAGACCGAUAUGAGUCUCUUUCAGAAUUUUAUUCUACAUUUCAUAAUUCUUAUAGCAAAAGUUCACAAUAUCUUUUUUUGUUUGUCAUUCAUUUUAAUUUGUAGGCUGAGCUCAAAAUUUCUCGAAAAAAUUGUCGUAACAGUAUGGAGGCAGAAGCUAUAACUCUUCUUUGGAUCAUGACACAUUUGGAUAAUCUUGGCUAUGAAGAGGUAAUUUUCGAGAGUGAUUCAAAGAUAUUGGUGAAAGCGGUAAAAGCUGAACCUCGAGAAUGGUCAAGGUUUAUAGUCUAUACUAAAGAAAUCAACAAGACAAGAAAAAUAUUAAUUCGACCAACCAUCACUCACUUUCCAAUGAAGACGAGCCAACUAAUGUGUUGAUCUUACAGCCAAUAAAACCUUUUCAUAUCAAGUUCAUUAUGCAUUCUUGAUUAGUAUCUUUGGUUGAAACAAAUUUAAUAUGAAAUAUGUUUAUGCUCGAAAAAACAAGAAAAAUUUGGCAUUAUGUUAAAAUGAUGAUAACUCUCCUAAAUGAACAACAACAAAAAAUGGAUGACAACUCCUGGAUUACUGGUUUCGAUUCUAUACUAUUACAUUUCGGUUAUAUUCUCAUUUUCAGUUAACUUUUCCAUUAUGUUAUAACAUGUUAUGACGUCAAAAAUAAAUUAUAACGUGAUAUACUAUAACAAACGAUAGAACUAUUAAAGUGGCAAUAAUAAGAUGAUGCAAGAAUCUGAUCCGAUACUACAGCAAAUAGAUAUUUGUCACUGGUCAUACUUUUUUAGCAUAAUAAUAAUAAAAAGUUUAUGAACAAGCUGUGCUUGGGUAUGCCUAGAUAUUCUAAGCAAGUUGUUACAGAUAAGGACAUAUUCCUUAUUAGAUCUUAGGCAAUAUUCUCGUAUAUUCUCUUAGACGUCUAUACCUAAUGUCUUGUAACUAUAUAUACCUUUGUAUGUUAUGAAUAAACUCAACGAGUUCGAUACACUUUGGCAUGGUAUCAGAGCCGUCAAACUAAAUAAAACCUAAACACAAUUUUCUUCUCUUCAACGCUAUCAAUCAUGGCAAACCAAGCUGCUGUGAUUCCUGAACCUACCUCUACCGAUAAAGAUGCUGUUACUGCAUCACCUUACUACCUUCACCCCUCAGAUCAUCCUCACCAGAUCCUCACACCGAUGCUGUUAACUGGUGAAAACUACGAACGAUGGGCGAAACUCACUCGCAACAACCUACGAGCCAAGCAAAAACUUGGUUUCAUCGAUGGUACCCUAACCAAGCCAUCAUCUACCUCUUCCGAUUACUCUCGCUGGGUACAGAUCAAUUCCAUGUUGGUCGGUUGGCUAUACGCUAGUCUGGAUCCUCGUGUUCAGAAAGCGAUCUCUGUAGUUGACGACGCGAAGGUGAUGUGGGAGAAUCUAAAGAACCGGUACUCUGUUGGUAACGCUUCGCGUGUUCAUCAACUCAAAGCUGAUAUUGUUUCCUGUCUGCAAACGGGUCAGACAGUUGCUGACUACUUUGGCAAACUCAAGGUUAUGUGGGAUGAUCUCGAUGACUAUGAACCUUUACUCUCCUGUUGCUGUGACAAUGCUACCUGUCCUAUUGGUGUCAAGCACUCCACUCGGCGUGAACAGGAGCGCAUCCAUCAGUUCCUGAUGGGUCUCGAUGGUGCAAAGUUUGGCACUACUCGCACCAAUAUUCUUGGACGCCUUAACCGCGAUGACGGUCUAAACUUAGACAACAUCUACUCUGAGAUCGUUGCGGAAGAACGCCAUCUAACUGUCGCUCGAAGCAAAGAAGAACGGAUCGAUGCUAUAGGGCUUGCUGUUCAGUCUGGAGUAAAUGCCAUUGCUUCAGUCACACGCAACAACAACACCGGUCCCUGCACUCACUGUGGACGAACAAACCACAGCGCUGAUACCUGCUUCAAGCUUCAUGGAGUUCCUGAAUGGUAUACCGAGAAGUAUGGGGAUUCAGGUCGUGGUCGUGGUGGAAGACAAAACAGUUCUCGCGGCAGAGGAAAAGGACGUGGAUCCACAUACCGAGCUAACAAUGCUCAACUGCAAUCUGAUGGUGAUUUUCCCGAUCUUCCUGGCGUGAGCAAAGAGACCUGGACCGCCAUCAUCAACCUCCUCAAACCUGACAACUCUUCCUCUAAUGAAAAACUAUCUGGUAACAUCGAUUAUCUCUUGGACUCUGGAGCUUCCCAUCACAUGACGGGAUACUUGGAUUUACUUUCUGAUGUUCAUAAUAUAUCUACUGGCAUUGUUGUACUACCUAACGGCAAACACACGUUUGCAACUAAAGAAGGCACUUUGACUCUUGGUGGAACAAUGACUCUCUACCGAGUCUUAUUUGUUCCUGAUCUAAACUGUACUCUGAUUUCUGUCGCACGCUUACUGCGUGAGUUACACGGUUUUGCCCUAUUCACUGACAAGUUAUGCUUGAUACAGGACCGCACUUCGAAGAUGCUGAUUGGAGUCGGUGAAGAGGACAAUGGGGUUUAUAACUUGAGAGGAACGGUUUCAGCAAGUGCACACAAGGUCGAGCAAGUUGAUAGCAAGGCGUUAUGGCAUCUCUGGUUGGGCCAUCCCUCCAAGAACGUUUUAUCCAGUUUUUUUUAAAACUUAGGCGAUUUAUCUAGUAGUAGCAGUAGUGAUCUCAAAGAAACCUGUGAUGUUUGCAUUCGUGGAAAACAAACACGAGCUGUUUUUUCUGAAAGUCUUAAUAAAGCUGAUGAUUGUUUCUCACUUAUCCACUGCGACAUUUGGGGCCCCUACAAAAUAGCAUCUACUUGUGGUGCUCAUUAUUUCCUCACCAUAGUCGAUGAUCAUUCUAGGGCUGUUUGGAUACAUCUAUUACUGGCAAAGAGUGAAGUAUCAACAGUGCUUCAAAACUUUAUAGCCAUGGCCGAAAGACAAUUUAAGAAAACUGUCAAGACGAUUAGGAGUGACAAUGGUAGCGAGUUCCUUGGGCUUCGAUCUUAUUUUGCUACCAAAGGCAUCCUACAUCAAACUUCAUGCGUCUACACUCCUCAACAGAAUGGACGCGUGGAACGUAAACACCGACAUAUUCUUGAUAUGGCUCGGACUCUUCUUUUUCAAGCUGAGCUUCCUACUAAAUUUUGGGGCGAAAGUGUUCUAACAGCUGCGUACCUCAUUAAUCGAACACCAACGCCUUUGCUUGCUGGAAAAGCACCUUAUGAAGUCCUUCAUUCUAAGCCACCAAUCUAUGAUCAUAUUCGCGUUUUCGGUUGUCUGUGUUACGCAAAGAAACAUACCUCUAUCAAAGACAAGUUUCAAGAACGCGGUCGUCGCUGCAUCUUCAUCGGCUACCCCCACGGUCAAAAAGGAUGGCGUGUUCUUGAUCUCGAAACUCAUGAUACCUUUGUUUCUAGAGACGUCAUCUUCAAAGAGAAUGAGUUUCCUUAUGCUCCUUCUCAGCCAGUAACUGUCGACGUCGUCCCUCCAUCCAUUCCACCAGUUACAGUUUUUGUCGAUGAUGAGAUUUCUCCUUUAUCUCUCACUCUACCAAGCAGGGGGAGCACUGAACCGAGUUUAGUCGCCACUGGAGAACCUGACACUUCUACAGCUCUUCCACCUAACAACGCUGUCUCACCAUUGCCAGCGGUUGUCGACACUACACCACCGGUUAUUCCUGUUGAACAGCUAGGUCGCGGUUUCCGAGAACGUCGACCAUCUACUCGACUUGCACCAUACGAACUCUACUCAGUUCGCAGUGAUAUAAACCCUAUUCCUCUUCCACCAACGUCUUCGUCAGUAUCUUCUGGUAAGUGUCGUUAUCCUUUAGCUAACUUUGUUACUUGUGAAAGGUUCUCGGAGAAUCAUCAGAUUUUCAUGGCCGCUGUCUGCCUCAAUGAUGUUCCUCGUACUUAUGCUCAAGCUGCCAAAGAUGAAAAAUGGCGUAAUGCAGUUUCCUUUGAGUACAAUGCACUCGAAGAUCAACAUACUUGGGAUGUCACCAAAUUACCGCCUGGCGUCAAAGCGCUUGGAUCAAAGUGGGUAUUUCGCAUCAUGUAUAGGUCUGACGGUUCCAUCGAACGCUACAAAGCGAGGCUCGUCGCUCUUGGCAAUCAUCAAACCGAAGGUCUCGAUUUUAAUGAGACUUUUGCUCCUGUCGUUAAAAUGCCAACCGUCCGUCUGCUUCUUGAUGUUGCUGCAGCCAAGAAUUGGGAGCUCCAUCAAAUGGACGUCCACAACGCUUUCCUGCACGGUGAUUUAAAAGAAGAUAUCUACAUUUAAACUUGCUUAUUCUACCAGUGCGCCUUACCAUGAUCCUGCUCAAUAUCGGAGACUUGUAGGACGGCUUGUUUUUCUCACUCACACAAAACCUGAGAUUUCCUAUGCCGUGAACAUUCUCACUCAGUUCAUGCAUACGCCACUUACUGACCAUUGGCUCGCCGCUCUUCGAGAGGUUAUCUGGUUCUUCACAUUAUUGUCUAUGUCGAUGAUCUCGUUAUCUGUGGGAAUGAUUCUUCUGUCAUCGCCAAGUUCAAACAGUAUCUCAGCACAUGCUUCAAAAUGAAAGACCUUGGUACUUUGAAAUAUUUCUCGGCAUUGAAGUUGCCCGCAGCCCCGAAGGUAUCUAUCUCUCUCAAAGGAAGUAUUGUNNNNNNNNNNNNNNNNNNNNNNNNNNNNNNNNNNNNNNNNNNNNNNNNNNNNNNNNNNNNNNNNNNNNNNNNNNNNNNNNNNNNNNNNNNNNNNNNNNNNCGGUUACAUCGUUCUUCUUGGAGAUUCUCAUGUGUCAUGGAAAACUAAAAAGCAAGAUACAGUGGCACGUUCUUCUACUGAGGCCGAGUAUCGGGCCAUGUCUAUGGCGUGUCAGGAGUUGUUAUGGGUAAAAGAGGUUCUCAUUUCUCUCGGUAUCAGUCAUGAUCAGCCUAUGAAGCUAGUUUGCGACAGUAAAUCUGCUCUUCAUAUCGCCUCCAACCCUGUCUUCCACGAGCGCACAAAACACAUUGAAUCUGAUUGCCACUUUAUCCGAGACGAGGUCACUGCUGGUAAUCUGGUUUUAUCUCAUGUAUCAACUAAAGAACAGCCUGCAGAUAUCUUUACUAAAGCCUUAGGUCGACAACAAUUUCGUUUUCUUAGAGGCAAGUUGGGCGUUUGUGAUCUGCACGCUCCAACUUGAGGGGGAGUGUUACAGAUAAGGACAUAUUCCUUAUUAGAUCUUAGGCAAUAUUCUCGUAUAUUCUCUUAGACGUCUAUACCUAAUGUCUUGUAACUAUAUAUACCUUUGUAUGUUAUGAAUAAACUCAACGAGUUCGAUACACUUUGCGACUUGCUUUGGCACAAGUCGGUCACAAAUACAAAUAUAUACAUUCUGAAAAGGUACCAAACAGAUAUCUAGAAACCUCCUCCACCACCACCACCACCACCACCGCAACCUCCUCCUCCACCACAGCCGCCUCCACCGCCAGACGCUCCAGCAUAUGGUCUAUGUUUCCUCUCAUUUUUUUAGAUUUUUUUUUCACCGUUUCAAACAAAUACGGCCAUGGCUAUUACGGAGAUGGUGGCUGCAACCGCCAAUAUUCCCCAAACUAAACCAAAGCCACUGGUUGGACUUGGAACGUCGGUCAAUAUGCUGCUCGCCAUAUUCUCUUGUGUGUAUUUUGGUUAAGUUUGAGAUUUUGAUUCGGUUUUAAUUUGUGUAUAAAAAGCAUUAUUUGUAGGUAAUUCUUUGAAUGGACAAUGUUGGCUUACCGCUUACGUUACGUGUGUCGGUAUAUGGUUACGUAAGAGUAAUAUGUAAAAAUCUACUGGUUUCUUUGAUGUCAUAUAAGAAAAUUUUGGUUCAUUCAAGGUGGCUACUUUUCAACGUGCUUUAAGAUUUGGUUCAAUAUAAGCGAUGCUUAAAAGUCUUAUGAUAAGGUCCCUCUGGCUACUUUUCAACGUGCUUUAACAUUUGGUUCAAUAUGAGGGAUGCUUAAUAGUCUUAUGAUAAGGUCCCUGGACUUUGGUACAUGGAUGGUCGUAAUCCAUAUCUUGGAAAAUUUUGUUUACUAAUUCAUUAGUUGGCUUUUGAAAAUUUUGAAACAAUUUUUUUUUAAAAAAAAAACAGACUUCGCAUAAUAUUAGAUUCUGAAUUUAGUUGAUAUUUUUAUGUGUAGACCUUUGUGGAACCAAUCCAUUUAUUUUAGGAGCUUGAUAUAGUUGUUAGAUUAGCAAGCAUGUUCAAUAUAUAUAUAGAUUGGUUGGUAAAGUAAAUCAGUCAUAAUUGGUGAAGACCUAAGGUAUAUUCUUUUUUUUUUGGUCAAAACCUAAAAGUUUAUUCAUUUUCUAAAUCAAAAACAUUUAUUAUGAUAGAUAUUUGGCUAGUGGAUAGUGGAUAUGCUCGUAUUCAUAUAAUAAUCGAAUGAUGUUUGUAUACAUGUAAGUCGUCCGCAUUUAAUUUUCUAAACCAAAACCUUUUAUGAUCAACGAGAUUUUGGUUUGUAUAUGCUGAAUUUGCUGAUCGAAUGUAUUCGUAUAAUAGUCAAAUGAUGUUUGUAUACAUGCAAAACUUCCACAACAUAUAUCUUUAAGGUGAAGGUAAUAUCGGUCGCGUUUUCAUUCUACAGUUCGUUAAUUUUUCUUUUAUCCAAUUCCUAGGUGGAGGCCAGAAUUUCUGAAAUAUGUUUCACACCGGCUUUAUAUUAUAGAAGCUACGAAGAACAUAACAACACAUUACUAUACUAUCAUAUUUAUCUAACAUUAAUAAAAAAGAAGAAGUUAUAACAUUAUAUAUAAAAAGGUGAAGUCUCAUUUUGAUUUAGAGUUUACCUUGGCGUCAUUGUAGAAAAAUCCUAAAAUCUAAUAGAUUUGUCAUUUUGAUUAAUCUUUCGUUCUGUUUAGGUUCUUGGUACUCCAACUACAAAGAAAUCAAAGACCACUGAUAGAUACUAUCUCGACACAGAGGCAGACGACAGCGAAAUUGAAUUAAACUUUACCGAUUGUUGGCUUUUGUUCAUGAAUUUAGCCUUUCUCCUUUGAAUCUCUGUGUAGUCUUUGAUUCAAAUGUAUAUUUUGUUGUUGGUAGUCUUAAUCAUUUUGAUAAACGAAGUCUACUAUUAGACUUCUUUCUCUCUUUAGUAGACUUCGUCAGAGAGAAAACGGUAAUUAGGACAUCCGUUUUUUGUUUAAUCAUACAGGAUUAAAUGGUCUUUUCACUACCCCUGCAGGUUAUAUCUGCCAAAUGUUUUUUCAGGGAUCUACUUUUGUAUUCAAAAUCAAGUUUUGGGUUAUUUUUAGCAAAAACUCCAAUAUAUUUAUAUAGCUAUAUAUACACCUCUCAGAUACUAGGUUUUAUUGUAUUUAACUUUAGGUCUUUAAUAUACGUCUUGCUCUUCUUAAUACAUUGUUAAUCGUUGUAUCACUGUUUUAGGAUAUGUCGAUUGAAUUAGUGCUCUCUUUCUGUUCUUUUUCGUAGUUUUCAAUUACACUUGGGUAUAUGUCUGAUUUUGGUUCAUGUGUGCUUUUAAAUUAUGAGUGAAGGAAUGGUUAUUCUUCUUUCUUUUUUUUCUGCUCUUGAAGCAACCUUCGUCUCCACAUAAUGAUUUUUUUUGUUUGGCUCUUGAAGCAACCUUCCUCUCUUAUCUAACGAGGUUUAUCUCAACUUUUUGUGUUUUGCGGAUUAAGCUAUGAGUUUCUCUAGGUAGUUGCUGUUGUUUUUUUUUUCUUUAUGGUUCGCUGCUAAUAUAUUGAGUAGUUAAUUAGCAGUUUUUCACCUUUUGUUCGUUGUUUAUUGUAGUUUUUAUGUUCAUUUAGUGAUUGAUGGGAGGUUUGUUCAUGGUUAUGCUCUUCUAGGUUGCUUUCUCUGUUUGGAAUAUGCGUCUGGUUUGUCAAAAACUAAUUAAUCACUCCGAUGAUAAAUGAAUCUACACAUAAUUGUUUCGUUGAGUAUCAUACGAAGUGUUCACUCUAGCUACCAAUGCUAAAUGCUCACAAGAAUGUGAAAAAGAUAGUAAUAUGACACAAGACAAAUGUAAAUAACGCUAAUUAAUCAAACAAAUAAAAUAAACUUAAACAUCUUAACAUCAUGAUCAAAUCUAAAACAUCCUUACUUCUGAUAUGAUCGUGACCAGCUCAGAGGAGGAGGAACCAGAGGUAGCUGGCAGGAUCACUCGUUCCAGAGCUAGAGAGAUGGCUAAGGAGGCUCACGCACUCAUUGCCACAGAGGACAGCGAUCACCAGGAGGCUGGAGCUCACAUCUUCAACAUCUCUAUCUUGAAGAAUGAAGAACCCAGUAACAAUGACUAGGUAACUUAGGUGAUGAUUCUGUACUCUUUUCCUUGGUGAGGAUUUUGGAAGGCAAGGAGGUUCUUCUCCAAGGUUUUUAACGAGGCAGAAAUCAUUGCUACGUCGAGUUACUUAGAAGUUGUUACUAAUGGGUAAUAAUGUGCAAAGUCACAAUGACUUGUGCACUUAGUAUCUUGGCGCACCACUUAGGAAUUUAGGGACGCCUCGCUGUUUUAUUUUUUUAAAUCAAACUUCUUGUUGUUUUUAUUUCAGACUUCAUGUAGUUUGUUUCUUAGGGCUGCGAUUUCUCUCUAAGUCUAUUUAAGAGAGAAAAUCGCCUAUGUCAUAUUCAGUGAAGAAUUUUGAUCAAACUUUUAACGUGUUCUUCUCUCUUUUUGAUUUCUGAGAACUAAAAACUCUGAAAUUCGAAUCUCUUAAAAACUAAUCUGUUUACAAGAGAUUCUUCUAUCUUAUCAUCCCACCAUCAUCACCAUCGAUCUGCCGAGCCACCAUCAUCUCCAUCGAUCCGCCACACCACCAUCGCACAUCCACGAUUCGAUCUGCCGAGUCUCCACCAUCAUCCCUCAUCGUCGCGAGCCAUCCUCGUAUCACUACCACUAUCCUUUUCGCUUCAUCGUUUCAGUCUAUCCACCAUAUCGCCGCAUCCAUUGUUCUUUGCUUCAGAGUAGAUCACCUUGGAUCGUAUCACGUGGUAUCAGAGCCAACUCUGAACCAAAGGCUGAGCGAAACUCUAACCCUAAUCUCUGUGCUUUGAAUUUUCGUCUCUGUGAUAUUAGGGUUAGCGAGUUUUGUGACUGUGUGCAUCGAUUUGAUUCCUUUUGUUUCAUAUCAUCGCAUCGUUCCCUCUUGUUUUGUGUUUAGGAUCGAUCGCUGUUAGGAUUCCUGUUAGAUCGUAUUCGUCUCAAGUUUAUUUCGAGUCUGAUUGUUUUUCGAGUCUGCUCAUUCAUUGUUUUCGUUCGGAUCGAUACGAGUCUGCGUGUAGUCGUGUUCUUAGGGUUUGUUAAGAGUCUGCGCGACUUCGUUAGGUUUGUUAGGGUUUCGUGAUCUCGUAACUCGUUUGUUAGUGUGUUAGGGAUUCGUUAGUCUUCGAUUUUUGUUGUUAGGCCUCGUUUUUCAUCGUUUUUUUUUCGUGUAGGCUUGUUAGGAAAUCUUUUUUUGUGAUUUCUGUUAAGUUUAGUAAAAAAAAAAAAAAAAAAAAAAAAAAAAAAAAAAUUUCGUUAAAUUUCAUUAGUUUCGUUAAGUUUGUUUUUAGAUUUCGUGGGGAUCUUUUAAUUUUUUUUUAUGAUGCGUUUAGUUUUGCUGUUUUUGUGAUUCCUUCUAGAACAAGUUACUGCGAGUUUUUUUAAAAUUUUCAGGUACCAUGGAGCUUUCGGCUGAGGCGAUGGAAGCUCUGAACCGAGCAAUGUCUCAACAAAUUAAAGAAGCAAAUCAGGCCAUAGCAACUCAGCUCACACAACAAAUCGAACAACUCAAUGACAAGUUCGAGACGAAGAUGACUGAUCUGCUCAAAGACCUCAGCGCAAGUGGAGAAGAGUCGUCUCAAACUCCAACUCCUUCGGAAGCAAUGCGCUUAGCAAAGGGUAAAGGGCACAUAGGAUCUUCCCGAAAACUUCCACGCCACCCAACACCUUUCGAAGCCAGGACUAAAGCUAAGUCCAGUCGAAGCCAGAUUGGGGGCAGAGAGACUACGUUUAAUCCGAGGAGGAAUCUUACUGGUGCAGAACGAGAUGGCCCAAGGGUAGAUCGUCAGCACCGCCGAGAGGAAUAUAUUGCUGGGCAUCGAGUUACCCUGGAAUCAGACCCAGAAUACUAUGAGGAGGACGAAGCUUCUGAUCAUAGCAGAGAAACUGUGAGACGAGAUCGAGGCCGAGGACAUGGUCGAGAUUAUGAUCCUCUACGACAGCAGCUGCGUCAUAUCAAAAUCCAGUAUCCUCCUUUCCAUGGAACUAAUGAUCCCGAAGCUUAUUUAGAUUGGGAAAGGAAGAUGGAGUCUAAUUUUCUGGUCCAAGGAACUUACGAGCUCAACAAGGUGAAGAUUGCAGUCUCGGAAUUUCAUGGGUAUGCGCUUCUAUGGUGGGAGCAGUUGGGAGUCACCAGAAAUCGCUUGAGGGAACUUCCGAUUACUACUUGGGAGCAGCUCGUUAUACAGAUGAGGAAGCGGUUCGUUCCGGCCCAUCAUCAGCGCGAGAUACUCAACAAGCUUAGGCGCCUUGUCCAAGGUACGAAGUCUGUUCGAGAUUAUUAUCAAGAAUUGGAAACUUUGCUCAUUCGUGCAGAUUUACGAGAAGACGAAGAGAUGGUAAUGUCGAGAUUUCUUGGAGGACUUAACCGAGAAAUUCAAGACAAGGUGGAACUUCAGGAUUUCGCAGAUAUACAAGAGAUGGUGCAUAAGGCUGAAUUGGUGGAAUCUCAAGUCAAGAGGCAAAAUUUCAAGUCCACAUUCACGCCUAGUGUGCCUAAGCCUAAGGAGAUCAGCAAGCCAGCUUACUCCAGAGACAUCAAACCGCCAUCUACUGGAGUUAAAGAAGAAACUAAAGCUGAGUUCAAGCCUCGAGGUGGCACUUCUAUCAGCAAUGUGAGGUGUUUCAAAUGUCAAGGAAUGGGACAUUACUCUCGAGAUUGCCCAAACAAGAAGGUUUUCUUGUUACAUGAGGGAGGAGAGAUAGUUCCUCAAGAGGAUUCAGAGGCCGAAUAUGAAUUAGAGGAAGAGGAAGAAGCUGCUGCUGUGGGCGAGAUGCUGGUUGCCAGAAGGACUUUGAGUGUUCAGAGUCAACCUGAAGAGACUUGUCAGCGAGAGAACCUGUUCUAUACGAGAUGCUUCAUUCAUGGAAAAGUUUGUAGCCUGAUCAUAGAUGGAGGAAGUUGUACUAAUGCUGCAAGCGAAGAGAUGGUUAAGAAGCUCCAGCUCAAGACUAUUCCUCAUCCAAGGCCGUAUAAGCUUCAGUGGUUGAAUGACAGUGGAGCCUUGACCGUAUCUCAGCAAGUGAUGGUUUCUCUAUCCAUUGGGAAGUAUGAAGAUGAGAUUCUAUGUGACGUCAUUCCCAUGGGUUCGAGUCAUGUGUUGCUAGGCAGACCGUGGCAAUCAGAUCGUAGGGUGAUACACGACGGUUACACCAACAAGCACUCAUUCGAGUUCAAAGGUCGCAAAAUUACCCUCCUACCUCUCACGCCUACCGAGAUUUAUCAAGAUCAAGUUCAAAUGAAGCUCAAGGAGAAGGAGAAAGUCGCCAACAGCCUCUACAUAAACCACAGUGAAUUUUCUAAACUCUUUGAUCCUGAAAUGACUACUUUUAUGUUUGUGUACAAGGAAUCCCUUGUUAGUACUAACCCUUCACAGGAGCUUCCUAGUGCUAUGUUUGAGAUUUUGCAGGAAUACAAGGACGUUUUUCCAGUAGAAAUUCCACCAGGGCUACCUCCAAUUCGCGGGAUUGAGCAUCAGAUUGACUUGGUACCAGGAUCAGCCUUACCUAACAGGCCAGCAUACCGAACCAACCCUGUAGAGACUAAGGAGCUUCAAAAGCAAGUGGAGGAGCUGAUGAGCAAAGGCCAUAUCCGAGAAAGCUUGAGUCCCUGUGCGGUUCCAGUUCUGUUGGUGCCAAAGAAGGAUGGUUCCUGGAGGAUGUGUGUAGACUGCCGAGCUAUCAACAACAUCACUGUGAAGUAUCGGCAUCCGAUCCCAAGGCUAGAUGAUAUGUUGGAUGAGCUCUGUGGGUCGACAAUCUUCUCUAAGAUCGACUUGAAGAGUGGAUAUCAUCAGAUCAGAAUGAAGGAAGGGGAUGAGUGGAAGACGGCAUUCAAGACAAAGCAGGGACUCUACGAGUGGCUAGUUAUGCCGUUUGGCCUCACCAAUGCUCCCAGCACCUUCAUGAGACUAAUGAACCAUGCCCUGAGACCAUUCAUUAGCGUGUUCGUAGUGGUUUAUUUUGACGAUAUCCUCAUCUACAGUAAAGGUUUGGAAGAACAUCUAGAUCACAUCAGAUCGGUUCUUGAUGUUCUUCGCUCUCAAUCUCUCUUUGCUAAUUUAUCUAAAUGUUCAUUCUGCACUAACGAGAUUGUUUUCUUAGGCUUUGUAGUAAGUGCAGGAGGAGUUAAAGUAGAUGAAGAGAAGAUAAAAGCUAUCAAGGAGUGGCCAACCCCCAAGAAUAUUGGAGAAGUCCGAAGUUUCCAUGGCUUAGCAGGAUUCUACAGGCGUUUUGUUCGUGAUUUCAGCACCAUAGCCGCGCCUUUAACCGAAGUAAUCAAGAAAGACGUGGGGUUCAAGUGGGGAGAGGCGCAAGAACAGGCUUUUACAGCCCUUAAAGAGAAGCUUAUCAAUUCGCCCUUACUAGUACUUCCUGAUUUUACUAAGACUUUUGAGAUUGAAUGCGAUGCUUCUGGUGUAGGUAUUGGAGCAGUUCUUAUGCAGGAUAAGAAGCCCGUCGCUUACUUCAGCGAAAAGUUAGGAGGAUCAACGCUGAAUUAUCCCACGUAUGAUAAGGAGUUAUACGCAUUGGUUCGAGCUCUCCAGACGUGGCAGCAUUACCUAUGGCCUAAGGAAUUCGUCAUUCAUACCGAUCACGAGUCCUUAAAGCACCUCAAGGGUCAGCAGAAGCUUAACAAAAGACAUGGGCGAUGGAUGGAGUUCAUUGAGACAUUCCCCUACAUUGUUAAGUACAAAAAAGGUAAAGAUAAUGUGGUCUCAGACGCAUUAUCCCGGAGGUACACUCUUGUUUCGACUUUAACAUCAAAGUUGAUUGGAUUUGAGCAUAUUAUAGAUCUUUAUGAAUCUGAUACUGACUUUUCUGAGAGCUAUGCCAAAUGUCAUAAGUUUGCCUGUGAGAAAUUUUAUAGACAGGAUGGAUACUUGUUCUUCAGUAACCGAUUGUGCAUACCACGAGGAUCCAUUCGAGAGUUAUUGGUACGAGAAGCUCAUGGAGGUGGAUUAGCUGGACAUUUUGGUGUUACAAAGACACUUCUUGGACUACAAGAGCACUUCUACUGGCCGAACAUGAAGAAGGACGUUGAGAAAAUCUGCUCUAGAUGUGUCGUAUGUAAGAUGGCUAAGAGUAAAGUUCAACCUCACGGUUUGUAUACUCCUUUGCCUAUUCCUUCUCAACCUUGGACUAAUAUCUCUAUGGAUUUUGUAGUUGGCUUACCUCGCACCAGAAAUGGUAGAGAUUCUAUUUUUGUAGUUGUUGACAGGUUUAGCAAGAUGGCUCACUUCAUCGCUAGCCACAAGACAGAUGAUGCUGUGAAUGUAGCUAACUUGUUUUUCAGGGAAGUAGUACGACUGCAUGGAAUGCCACAGGUUAUCGUUUCAGAUCGAGACACGAAGUUCUUAGGACACUUUUGGCGAACGCUUUGGGCUAAGCUGGGAACAAAGCUCUCAUUCUCAACUACGUGUCAUCCUCAGACCGAUGGACAGACCGAGGUGGUGAAUAGAACGUUGUCCACACUUCUAAGGACUUUGGUGAAAAGUAACCUCAAGACAUGGGAAGAGUGCCUGCCUCAUGUCGAGUUUGCUUACAAUCACGCUAAGCAUUCUGCUACUCUCUUUUCUCCUUUUGAAAUUGUAUAUGGGUUUAAUCCACAAUCACCUCUAGACUUGAUCCCUUUGCCUUUAAGUGGAAAAUUCAGUUUGAAUGGCAAGGAGAAAGCUGAACAGGUCAGAAGAAUUCAUGCUAAGGCUAAGGAGAAUAUCGAGAAAAAGACAAAGCAGUAUGAGAAGCAUGCCAACAAAGGACGAAAGGAACUGAUUUUCGAAGAAGGAGAUCUGGUGUGGAUCCAUCUGAGGAAGGAGCGAUUUCCAGCUGAGCGAAAGAACAAGCUAAUGCCCAGAGUUGAUGGACCAUUCACAGUCAUCAAAAGAAUCAACAACAACGCCUAUCAGAUUGAUCUUCAAGGUAAGUAUGAUGUUUCUGAUACGUUCAAUGUUUCUGACUUGCUUCCUUUUGUUGCAGAUUCAGGUUUGAGGGCAAAUCCUUUUCAAGAGGGAGAGGAUGAUAUGAUCGUGACCAGCUCAGAGGAGGAGGAACCAGAGGUAGCUGGCAGGAUCACUCGUUCCAGAGCUAGAGAGAUGGCUAAGGAGGCUCACGCACUCAUUGCCACAGAGGACAGCGAUCACCAGGAGGCUGGAGCUCACAUCUUCAACAUCUCUAUCUUGAAGAAUGAAGAACCCAGUAACAAUGACUAGGUAACUUAGGUGAUGAUUCUGUACUCUUUUCCUUGGUGAGAAUUUUGGAAGGCAAGGAGGUUCUUCUCCAAGGUUUUUAACGAGGCAGAAAUCAUUGCUACGUCGAGUUACUUAGAAGUUGUUACUAAUGGGUAAUAAUGUGCAAAGUCACAAUGACUUGUGCACUUAGUAUUUUGGCGCACCACUUAGGAAUUUAGGGACGCCUCGCUGUUUUAUUUUUUUUAAAUCAAACUUCUUGUUGUUUUUAUUUCAGACUUCAUGUAGUUUGUUUCUUAGGGCUGCGAUUUCUCUCUAAGUCUAUUUAAGAGAGAAAAUCGCCUAUAUCAUAUUCAGUGAAGAAUUUUGAUCAAACUUUUAACGUGUUCUUCUCUCUUUUUGAUUUCUGAGAACUAAAAACUCUGAAAUUCGAAUCUCUUAAAAACUAAUCUGUUUACAAGAGAUUCUUCUAUCUUAUCAUCCCACCAUCAUCACCAUCGAUCCGCCGAGCCACCAUCAUCUCCAUCGAUCCGCCACACCACCAUCGCACAUCCACGAUUCGAUCUGCCGAGUCUCCACCAUCAUCCCUCAUCGUCGCGAGCCAUCCUCGUAUCACUACCACUAUCCUUUUCGCUUCAUCGUUUCAGUCUAUCCACCAUAUCGCCGCAUCCAUUGUUCUUUGCUUCAGAGUAGAUCACCUUGGAUCGUAUCAACUUCUAUCUAACAAAUGAAACAUUACCAUAUGCCUUAUGUUGUUAGCUUGUGUUAUGACCUCCGAUCGGACUCUGAUCCUUAACGUUAUAUACUUAUAUAUAUGGUUCUGUCCGACUUAUAAGCACUACAUAUAUGAUUCCCAGGAAUAACUCAUGGAAUCAGGGUUUCAGUUGUGCCAAAACAAAUAAAGCUCCACACAAAUUUCUAUAAAGACCAGGAACACACAUGUUCAGUGAAAGAGAACAGAAAAUGCCAUAUAUAAGAUCAUUUACGUAAAAAUACUGAUCACGCCAUCGUUGGAACAGAGCACUAGAGAUAAAUAUUGCACAUCCAAAACCAUUAGCUGAUAGUAUCUUGGACAUUCAGACUACAUGACCACGAGAUAACAACAUAAGAAACAAUUAGAAAACAAAACUAAGAGUAGGGAAUAGGAAUAAAAACAGAGUUUGUUCCCUUGGAAGAAGAAGUAUGAUUGAAGAGUAUAUUAAACAACACUCGAGAUUUGUUAAAAGCUUGCUUUUUAAGAUGAAACUAUAGUACCAAAAAAAAAAAAAAAGGAGAAACGGAGUGAAGAAAAUCUGGAAGCAAAGCAGGAAAAUUGUGGUUCUGAUCCAAUUUUCUGAAAACAACUCUUCAGGUCCUCCUCUUGAUUCUAAUGAGUAUUUGACAUUAUUGACUCACUACAAGAGGCAAGAAAAACCUGUCAUAAUAAGGUUCAUGUAAAUGUACUUAACAGAGAAGAAAACAAUGAGUGGUGGAACCAAAGAAGCAUAGUGUUUUAGUCCAUGAAGAUGGAGAAGAACAGAGCUCCAGUGUGAUGGUUAUUAGAGGAAGAAGAUAUUGGUGAAAGAUUGAAACAGAGAAAAUUUGCAACCAUGGGCAUAAAUUGAAACUGGAGGCACAUAUUACCAAAGUGGAGAAGAGUUUGGCAAAAUUAAUUUCUAAAUUUGGGGAGUUAUAACAUGGCUUUAAAAGUACGAUGAAUACCAAAUAAAAAAUAGACAAUACAAUUAAACGAUAAAGAAGAAUACAAAAAAUGAUAAAAAACAAAAAAACAAUCGAGUUUGUCUUAGUUGAUUUGGCUUAUGAGUUUUACUACACUUUUUCAUUGGUUUCAUACACUUAUUUUAUGGUUUUUUGAGUAUUUAAUUUUGGAUGAUGUUUUAAUUAAUUUUAUUUCAAUUAGCUAUGUCUCAAGUGGUUAUUUUAAUUCUCUUUCGUUUCUAACAUAAAAUUUUGUUUUAUGUUUAUCAAACUCUUCCACCCGCGCAAGGCGCGGACUAAACACCUAGUUUGAUAUUUAAAAUGACACAAUCGUUUUACCAAAAUUUUGUACGUAUAAGAAAUGAUAAAAAAGCAUUUACUUGUAAAAUUUUAAAAUUAUAUACUAGAAAAAGAAACCCGCGUGUACACGCAGGUGAUCAUCUAAUAGUUAUAAAAAAUAGCAUAUAUGUAUGUAUUUCCCACUCGUAGACAAUUAUUUACCGAUAUUGCGUAGUGAGAAAAAUAAUACUUAUACUAUUGUCUAUGUCUGGUGUUGAAGAGAUUUUCCAAUAAUCUAUUACAAAAAAUAAAUCUAUAUACAUGUUCAUUUGAGUUAAAACUAUGAAAACUAAUCAAGAAUUCAACAAAACCAGGAUUCUUUCUAGUAAUGAUGAAACUUAUUUCAAAUAAAAAGAGUAUAAAUACAUGUAAUCUCAGCUNNNNNNNNNNNNNNNNNNNNNNNNNNNNNNNNNNNNNNNNNNNNNNNNNNNNNNNNNNNNNNNNNNNNNNNNNNNNNNNNNNNNNNNNNNNNNNNNNNNNNNNNNNNNNNNNNNNNNNNNNNNNNNNNNNNNNNNNNNNNNNNNNNNNNNNNNNNNNNNNNNNNNNNNNNNNNNNNNNNNNNNNNNNNNNNNNNNNNNNNNNNNNNNNNNNNNNNNNNNNNNNNNNNNNNNNNNNNNNNNNNNNNNNNNNNNNNNNNNNNNNNNNNNNNNNNNNNNNNNNNNNNNNNNNNNNNNNNNNNNNNNNNNNACGACACCCAAAUCCAAGAAUGGUCUUUUGAUUGCUUUAUCUGUAUUGUUGUUGUUGCUGCUGCUUAAGUCAACAACCAACAACAUCCACUCCAAUUCUCAACCAUCCACCUGUGUUGGAUUUAGAAGAGGAACCAACCAACCACUUAUAUCCAUGCUGCUCCUGGUGUCUUCCACAGAGAUGUGAAACCACAUAACCUUUUGGUAAGUUGAUCUUAUUGUGGGUUUGUCUUGGGUAACCAUUACUAGAUUGUAAUCCAUUUCUCUGGUGCGUUCUGUAGGUUGAUCCCCUCACUCAUCAGUGUAAGCUGUGUGAUUUUGGAAGUGCAAAAGUAUUGGUAAGGGUUUACCUUAUUUAUAUUUUUUUAUUUAUUUUUCCACUGCUUAUGUGUUCGGUCUCAUGAAAUCAAUUGCACCUUAUUUGUUUUCAUGAUCUUUGCAACAUGUGACUAUUGACUUUAGGUGAAAGGUGAACCAAAUAUAUCAUAUAUCUGCUCUCGGUAUUACCGAGCUCUAGAACUCAUCUUUGGGGCCACAGAGUAUACAUCCUCCAUAGAUAUAUUGUCAGCUGGUUUUGUUUUGGCAUAGCUCCUUCUUGGUCAGGUUAGUGUAAACUAAUUUAUCCAUUAAGUAUCUUGAGAACUAAAGCAUCUCUCCAAUAUCUUUGACAAUCAUUUGAUAUUUCUUUAUCUUCAGCCGAUAUUCCCCGGAGAAAAUUCUGUGGACCAGCUAGUGGAGAUCAUCAAGGUGAAGUCUCAUAUUGAUUAGAGUUUACCUUGGUGUCAUUAUAGAAAAAAAUCCUAUAAUCUAAUAGAUUGAUCAUUUUGAUUAAAAUCUCGUUCUGUUUAGGUUCUUGGUACUCCAACUCGAGAAGAAAUCCGAUGCAUGAAUCCAAACUACACAGACUUUAGAUUCCCACAAAUCAAAGCUCACCCGUGGCAUAAGGUAAUUUAUAUGCAUGUUACGUUCUAACUUUUCUGAUCAUUCAGAGAAAAAAAGAAAAGCUGAAACAAUACAUAUACUACUUUAUGACCUCCAGGUUUUCCAGAAGCUGAUGCCUCCAGAAGCCAUUGACCUCGCAUCUCGGCUUCUUCAAUAUUCACCGAGCAUACGUUGCACUGCAGUCAGUAUCUCUACACGACCAAGUAUUCUUAGUUGUUAGAGUUGUUCUCUCUGUUUGGACCUGUACUGUUCAAUGAUGCUGAGGCUUUUUAACUGACAUGUAUGUUAUGUUUCCAUGUCUAAAAGCUCGAAGCAUGUGCUCAUCCAUUUUUCAAUGAACUACAUGAGCCCAAUGCUCGUCUUCCAAACGGCCGACCUCUACCACCGUUGUUCAACUUCAAACAAGAGGUACGUUUGUCCAAUCUCUUUAAAACAAACAUUCUUAAACCAAACCAUAACUGCUGUUAAGUUCAAACAGUUUCUUAAUCUGGUAUCUCUUUCUCUCUGCUUGAAUGUUCAAACAGUUAUCUGGAGCUUCCUCAGAGCUUGUAAACAGGCUAGUACCAGAUCACGUUAGGCGACAGAUGAGUGGAGGCUUUCCAUUUCAAGCUGCUCCGUAGAAACGACUUCGAAACCAAGAUGUUUUGUUCUGGGUAGAAAUCCCAUCAAGCAUUUGCUUGGGCACUAGAAUUUCAAUUAUUUUAGGGGCCAUUUUGUAUAAAUAUGAGUUGGUUAAGAUGGUGCAGUGGUCUAUGAAAAAUGUGUUUAUUUGUCAUUGUAUUUGGCAUAUUUUAUUUUUAAUCAACAUUAUAUCAUAGAAUUAGUUAUUCUUAAACAACUUAAAACAGAACAAAGGAAAUAAAAACUACAUCAUCCUGUUUACAUCUACUAUUCAAAAUGAAGAAAAUAACCUAUAAAUUCUUAGGUCUUUGGGGGUUAUUGGGUGCACGUUUUCUAAUUUGGGUAACAACUGAUAGCAUUUACAAAUUUUUCAAGAAAAGUUAAGUGAAAUCAAUUUUUGAAUUGGGAAAAAACUUUUAAAAAAUCUCAAAAAGAAAGAAAAUAUUUAUAAAAAACAGCAUAUAUGUAUUUCCACUUGUAGACGAUUCUUUACCAAUCUUGCAUGAUGGAAAAAUUACUACUCAUAUUUUUGUGUAUGUUUGGUGUUGAAGAGAUUCUAUUACAAAAGAUAAACUUAUUUUUACGGAAGAAAAUUUAAGAAAAAAAAUCUAUAUAUACAUUGUUCACUCGAGCUAAAACUAUGGAAAUAAUGAAGAAUUCAAUAAAAUCAGGAUUCUUUCUAGUAAUGAUGAAACUUAUUACAAAUAAGAAAGAUUACAAUUACAAGUAAUCCCAGCUUACAAUGAACCUGCUCACUACUUAGCAAAAAAAACUUUUUCCAACAAUGUUUUCUAUUAUAGUUGGAUUUAUUCCCCUAUCUGGUUAACCCCUUUACUUCAUUGUGACUUUGUAUAUUCUUCACUUUUUGGUCAAUAUAUAUGCUUCUUAUACAAUUACAUGUAAUCCCAGUUUCCCACUCCGAAACCAAACUUCCCCACAUCAAGCCAGCAAUCUGAAAUAUAAACCAUCAUAGACAUAAACCUUAGAGCUAAAACUGUUCUCAUACUUAAACCUCUAAUCACCCUUAUCUCAAUAUCAUGGUAUCUCCACGUGUCUUCAUCAUCCUCGUAAUUACCUGAGACGAUAAUGUUGGUGGCUCUCAGUUCAUCUCCUGUGUAAGCCCACCGAGCACAGUUCAUGACGGUAAAAGAACACGUCGCCGAUCUCAACACAAGGGAUUGAACCCACUAAGUAUUUACCCUGGGUUUGAGAUCAGCGACGUGUUCUUUUAUCGUCAUGAACUGUGCUCUCAGACUGGGCUUACACAGCCAGCUACAACGUAGUUCCAAAGGUGAACCGAUACCCCCCCCCCCAUCAUUGUCGUCUCAGGUAAUUUGAGGAUGAUGAAGACGUACGUGGCUUGUUACAUUAGUCCCAGAAAAGAACCAAAUGUGAUGGCACAUUUGGAGCUACGGAAACUACUCAGUUACAGAUGGUGAGCUUCACGUUCAGUUCAUCGGCGACCCAUAGUCCAGGCUUAGCUCCGAUAACAAGGGAACAUCAAAAGAAAAAAAAAACUUGAUGUUCAUUAUCGGACUAAGCCUGGAUUAUGGGUCAGUAGAUGAACUGAACGGGAAGCUUGCCAUCUAUAACUGAGUAGUUUCCUUGUUUCUAUAUUUUUCUUUAUGUCUUUACCGAUAUGGCUCUCCUAUAUGCUUUAUCUUGAGGUAAUUUCUCAAAUAAAUGUUCUUUCUACAUCUCUUUAUCAUAGGAGUCUCAUUGUCUGUACCAAUUGCAUGCUCACAUGCUAAAGUCUUUACUAUAUUUGAGUAUUUACGAAGUUUGUUUGAUUGCUAAAUUAAACCAAUCACAUUCAGGGAAGAAUUAAGGUUGAUUCCAUUUUCUAAACCAGACCCAUUUAUUGUGAUAGAUAAAUACAUAUUUGGUAAGUUACAAACAAAAGAAAUGAAAAUUGCCCAAAGAAAAAAAGGAAAAAGAAAUGAAAUAUCUAUCACACAAAAACUCAAGCGAAAUUUGAUCGUGUGUGAUCGAACUAACAUCUUUUUAUUUUAUCUAUCACGAUAUCUUUUUUGUUCGUCAUUCAUUUUAAUUUCUAGGCUGAGCUCAAAAUUUCUCGAAAAAAUUGUUGUAACAUUAUGGAGGCAGAAGCAACAACUCUUCUUUGGAUCAUGACAUGCUUGGAUGAUCUUGGCUAUGAAGAGGUAAUUUUCGAGAGUGAUUCAAAGAUAUUGGUGAAAGCGGUAGCUGAACCUCGAGAAUGGUCAAGAUUUAUAGUCUAUACCAGAGAAAUCAACAAUACAAGAAAUAUAUUAUUUCGACCAACCAUCACUUUCCAAGCAAGAGAAAAGCCAACCAAUGUGUUGAUCUUACAGCCAAUAAAACCUCUUCAUAUGAAGUACUCUUUUGUUGAGAAGGAGAAACGAAUUUAUAUGAAAUAUGUUUGAGCUCGAAAAAACAAGAAAUAUAUGGCUUUAUGUUAAAAUGAUGAUAACUCUCCUAAAUUAACAACAACAAACCAAAAAAAAUGGGUGAUAAUCCUCGAUUACUAGUUUCGAUUCUAUACUAUUACAUUUCGGUUAUAUUCUCAUUUUCAAUCAACUUUCCAUUAUAUUAUAACAUGUUGACGUCAUAAAGAAAUUAUAACAUGAUAUAUAGUGAAAUACAAACGAUAGAGCUAUUAAAGUGGCAUAAUAAGAUGAUGCAAGAUCUGAUCCGAUACUACAGCAAAUAGAUAUUUGUCACUGGCUGGUCAUACUUUUUACCAUAAUAAUAAAAAGACUGUGCAUACAUUGUGCUUGGGUAUGCCUAGAUAUUCUAAGCAAAUCGGUCAUAAAUACAAAUACGUUCUGAAAAGGUACCUAAGAGAUAUUUAGCAACCUCCUCCACCACCACAACCUCUUCCUCCACCACACCCGCCUCUACCGCCAGACGCUUAUGGUCCAGCAUAUGGUCUAGCUCCAGUAUAUAUUGAUCCAUCUUUCGUCUCAUUUUUUUUAGAUUCUUUUUCACCGGUGCAAACAAAUACGGCCAUGGCUAUUACGGAUAAGGUGGCUGCAACCGCCAAUAUCCCCCAAACUAAACCAAAGCCACUGGUUCUAACGUCGCUCAAUAUGCUUCUCACCAUAUUCUCUUGUGUAUAUUUUGGUUAAGUUUGAGAUUUUGGAUUCGGUUUUGGGUAGGGAUUUAUAUAUGCUUUUUAGAUGUGAGAAAUAAAAAGCAUUAUUUGUAGAUAAUUUUUUGAAUGGACAAUGUUGGCUUACCGCUUACGUCACGUGUGUCGGUGUGUGGUUACGUAAGAGUAAUAUGUAAAAAUCUACAAGUUUCUCUGAUGUCAUAUAAGAAAAUUUCUUGGUUUAUAUGAGGUGGCUACUUUUCAACAUGCUUUAACAUUUGGUUCAAUAUAAGUGAUGCUCUUAUGAUAAGGUCUCUCUGGCUACUUUUCAACGUGCUUUAACAUUUGGUUCAAUAUUGAGGGAUGCUUAAAAGUCUUAUGAUAAGGUCCCUGAACUUUAGUACGUGGAUGGUCGUAAUCCAUACCUUGGAAUAUUUUGCUUACUAAUUCAUUAUUUGUCUUUUGAAAAUUUGAAACAAAUUUAUAUUAGAUUCUGAAAUUACUUGAUAUUUUUAUGUAAGACCUUUGUGGAACCAAUCCAUUUAUUUUGGGAGGUUGAUACAAUUGUUGUAGGAAGUAAAUUUAGAGGAGACAAAUAUUGCAAUGUAAGAAACCGAUUUGAGAUACAGAAAAACGUUUUGAAAGCGGAUUAAGGAAAAACGAGAAGUGGAGGCGAGAUGAUCUCUUUCCUUAAUUCAAAAUAUCUCCCGCAGUGUGGCGGUUGGAUGAGAUAAAGAAUCCCAGGAUACAACCACUAGUAUUUGUAUAAUCGCAGCACCCGAUUAUAGAAUGUGACGAACUGAUAUUCUACGAUAUACUCUCGGACACUUACUCUUGAAAGAAGAAAGGAGACGCGAGAGAUUUGAAGGAAAAGUGUGAAUGAUUUUUCUCUGUAAAUUUUCUGUAGAGAGCGAUCAAAAUUGGAAGAGGAAAAGUCGAUAUAUGUAGCGAAGGAGAGAGGAUCGUCGCACUUAAUCAGCGUGUUAAUGACGAGAUUAAUUUUGUGCUAAUGACGCGAUUUGGGCGUUAAUCUUGGCGUGAUUUUCAGGAGAGACAUUUGACUGCAGUUUAAUGUCGUGAUUCUGUUAAGAAUUUGAACCGAAAACUUUAGCAAUUUGGGCCAGAAAUGUUGACCAAAACGAGGCCCAAAAAGAACAUCUUUUGUGGGCCGAAGGCCCACAUUCACCAAGACCCAAGACCCAAGACCCAAGACCCAAGACCCAAGACCCAAGCACUACAAGAAAGAGGGGCUUUUCCGUCGAAUUAUUUACGACGAUUUGUAGUCGUCGUAAAUUUACGACGACAUUACGUCGUUUUUACGACGAUCAAAAAUUUUGUCGUAAAUUCGACGUAAAAAAUAACCCUUGUAAAAUCGUCGUAAUGUUACGACGAAUAAAGAACGAAUUUUAUUUCGUCGUAAUCUUGUCGUAAUAUUUACAUCGAUAAUACGACGAAUUGUCCUCUAUCUUGUAGUUGACGUAAAAUCAAUGUAAAUGUGAUGUAAAUUUUAUUUCGACGUAAAUUUGAUGUAAAUAUGCAAUGGUAAUAUGUUGGUAACCAAACAAAAAAUUCUAUAUAUACCCUUUCUUCUCUCAUUAUUCCAUCAUCCCAAAAAAACAUAUAAAAACACAAAUUUUUUGAGUCUUUGAAUGUUUAAGUAAAAUUUUUAGUAGUUGAAAUUUCUAUCAAAUUUCAGAAACAAAAAGUCAAAUAUUUGUUUUUGAAAUGUCUAUAUACGAUCUACGAAAGUGGAUGUAUACGCCCAAAAAUAGUGAUGGGUCGUUGACUGAAGACUUCAAAAACGGAUUGGAAAUAUUCAUGUACCAAGCCGGCCUUCUGGAAACUGUAAUUGAAAGCGGCAAAAUGUAUUGUCCUUGUGUGAAAUGCAAAAUAGGAAACAUAUUCUUAUUGACACUGUCUGGCAGCAUUUAUUGAAUAGAGGGUUCAUGCCUCAAUACUUUAUUUGGUAUCAGCAUGGAGAGGGAUAUGGUCAAAGUAGUGGUCAGAUGGCUGCACGGAGUAGUAGUAAUCAUCAAGAACAUGUGGAUUUUGAAGCGUCCAAUGAUUAUCAAAGUAGUCAAGUUCAGGGUGAAGAUCAUGAUAGGAUGCAUGAAAUGAUUACUGAUGCAUUUCAUGAAACACAUGCUGAUACUGUUGAGGAGCCCAAUGCAGAUGCGAAACGCUUUUAUGAUAUGUUAAACGCAGCAAAACAGCCUUUGUACGAGGGAUGUAGGGAAGGUUUAUCAAAAUUAUCAUUGGCAGCUCGGAUGAUGACAAUAAAAACAGAUCACAAUCUAUCUGAAGUUUGCAUGAACGAUUGGGCAGAUCUUAUUAAAGAGUAUUUGCCAGAUGAUAAUUUGGCUGCUGAAACGUAUUAUGAAAUUCAGAAGCUGGUUUUUAGUCUUGGAUUGCCUUCUGAGAUGAUUGAUGUUUGUGUUGAUAAUUGUAUGCUUUUUUGGAGAGAUGAUGAGAAGCUUGAAGAAUGUCGUUUCUGCCAAAAGCCAAGAUAUAGACCGCAAAUUGCUGGGCGUAAGAAGAUUCCUUACCAACGAAUGUGGUAUCUUCCUAUCACUGAUAGGUUAAAAAGACUAUAUCAAUCCGAACGGACAGCUGCGUCGAUGAGAUGGCAUGCGGAACAUUCACAAAAAGAUGGCAAAAUGACUCACCCGUCUGACGGGAAAUCUUGGAAACAUUUUAACACCGUACAUCCAGACUUUGCUAGGUCUAAGCGAAAUGUUUAUCUUGGUCUUUGCACUGACGGGUUUAGUCCAUUUGGUAUGUCUGGUAGGCAAUAUUCAUUAUGGCCUGUGAUUCUUACGCCAUAUAACCUUCCUCCAGAUAUGUGCAUGGAAAGAGAGUUUUUGUUUCUAAGUAUAUUAGUCCCUGGUCCAAAUCACACGAAGCGGGCCCUUGAUGUUUUUUUGCAACCACUCAUACAUGAGUUAAACCAGUUGUGGCAUGUUGGAGUACGAACAUAUGACUGUUCGAGUGGUAAAAAUUUUACGAUGCGAGCGGUGCUUAUGUGGACAAUAAGCGAUUUCCCGGCAUACGAAAUGCUAUCAGGUUGGACAACGCAUGGGAGGUUAUCAUGUCCUUAUUGUCUUCAUAGGACUGAUGCAUUUCAGCUUAAACAUGGUAGGAAAACCUGUUGGUUUGAUUGCCACCGUCGGGUUUUACUACGACGAAUUUACGACGAAUGGGAGUGAUCGUCGUAAAUUCGUCGUAAUAUACCAUCGAAAAUACGACGAAAUGUAAUCCCUAAAUCUUAUAAUCAAUCUUUUAUGGGGUUCAGAGGGGAUUUUGAUGAGGAGAAUGAAAUGGCUUACCAUCUCAUAAGGUAAAACAACUUUCUAAACAAAAAAAAAAAAAUUCAAAAUUUGACAUAUAUGUCUUUAUCAAGUAAUCUUAAGGUGUUAUAUACAUUUACACAAGAUGUAUGGAUUUAUCUUACAUCUUACUAAAUUCUUCAUUAAGUUAUGUAAACAUGCUAGAAAUUUAUACAGACCACAUUUAUCAUGAAUAGACAUGCUUGUAUGUGCUUAUGGAUGUUUCAAUUUUUGAAUUUCAUCAGUUUUGGUAUAAUUCGUCGUAAAUUCGUCGUAAUGUUACGACGAAUUUACGACGAUUUGUGGAUACACAGCCGUCUUAAUUUUUUUGAUUUAUAAGAUUCGUCGUAAAAUCGUCGUAACAUUACGACGAUUUUACGACGAAUAGCACGGAUCAUCGUAAACUCGUCGCAAAGCCCAGAUACAGCCACGUGUGUUUGUCUUACUCGCUUUGUUGUACGGUGGGACCUUUGCGACGAAUUUACGACGGAAUUCGUCGUAAUGUUUACGUCGAAUUUACGACGAAUAUAAAUUCUAUAUAUAGGACCUCACCCCUUCCUCAUUUCGUCGCUUAUCUCUCCUUCCUCUCUCUCUGCUUCCUCCUUGCCACCUCCUCCUUUUGACGCAAAAAAAAAGGUGAAUAAUUUUUUUUAAUUACUUAAAAUUAUAAUAAUUUUAAAUAGUUUAGAAAUUCAAACGGUUUAGGUCGGGAAUUAGUUUAGGCUCGGAAUUUGUUAGAUUUAGGAUCGGAAUUUGUUAGAUUUAGGAUCGUAAUUAAAAAUUAAUUGUAAUUAAUUUGAAAAAUAAUUUUUUUCGGUUUUGCAGACGAUGACUCGACGGAGGACGCAUUACAUCAAUUUCAUGGCGGACGGACAUUCUUCCCGGGCGUCUGCCUCGGGAAACACCGGGACCGAUGUCCCUUCAUCUUCCGGAGCCUCCCAGGUUCCGAAUACCGCGGAGCCGUCUCCACCACCGCCUCCACCACCACCUCCACCGCCGGCUGUCGAACCGGUACCCGCCCCGGCUGCCGAACCGGUACCCGCCCCUCCUCAUCUGUAUGUCCAGUUUACGAUUGAGGAUUUACUAGCCUUACCGGGACGGGGGGCUUUACGACGUCUGGUUCCCGGAAAAGCGGAACCAGGCUCUUAUUGGUAAGUAAACUUUUUUGUUUUUUUAUAGUUUUUAAAUUAACGCUUUAAUUUACUUAAAUAUUAAUGUAAUAAUUUUUUUUUUUGGUUUCAUAGGUUUACUUUGGAUAAUUGUGUCGGGCGGAGCGUUUCCGACACAAUUAAGAGUCAUUUCGUGGAGCACGUCAAUUGGAGCAAGGUGUCGCAAGAGACGUGCGACACCUGGUACAAGUGCUUCGCGGUAAUAUUUUUAAAAUCUUAUUUAUAUCAUUUUAAAUUGUUUUAAAUUUAAUUAAUCUUACUUUUAUAUUGUUUAUCUAAUUUUUUGUUUUCUUUUGCAGCAACGGUGGAACUGGGACAUCGGGAUCAACGAGACGGUCCGCGAAGCUUUCGAGGAAAAGGCGAAGAAACGCCUAGUCAACACCGUUUCCGAUUGGAAGCGGAAAUGGGAGACCGACGGCGACGACGCAAAGCCGAGCUCCAUGUCCACUUGGUGUUGGAACGGGUUGAAGGCGUAUUGGGUGGACCCGCAUGCCCAAACCACCGCUGCUAAGUGUUCGGCCGUCCGAAACCGGGUCGAUCCGGUGACUGGUGAGAAGUUAGUGAACCCGUACACUUCUGGCCAAAUAUCUUUUACGGGAAGACGUCUCAUGAUGGUAAGUAAUUAAAUAUAAAUUAUUUCAUUAUUAUUUUAAUUUUAUUUAUUGCUAGAAUUAAUUAAAUAUUUUUGACUAAUAAUGUUUAUUAAUUGGUAGGCCGAGGAGAACGGAGGAGAACUACCUCCAAUGACGAAGCUCUUCGAGACCACUCACCGGAAGAAGGACGGGAGCUUUGUCGACGCUCGGUCCGAGGAGAUCUACAAUGCCGCUUGCAGCGGAUCGCCGAGCGGGAGACCCAGGCCACACCUGACGGUACUAUCCAAGUACCGUUGACCGUCGCUGAGCAAGACCAGAUUUUCGAAGAGGUAUGAUAUCUAUUUCAAUUUUUUAAAAAUUUAUUAUAUUUAUAAUUACUUAAUAAAUAAUUAACGUUUUUAUUUUCCAUUUGUAGGUUGCUCCGAAGAAGAAGGGCCGAACCUUAGGGAUGGGCUCUAUUAGAGAUUGUCCUGCCGCCACGGCUUCCGGAUUCCGCACGCAGGAUCCGCAGCUUCGCCAGGAGCUUGCUACGGCCAAUGCUGAGAUCACCAGUCUCAGGCAUGAGCAAAUGGCCCAGAAGCAGGAGCUCACCGAGAUACAUGAUCUCUUCGACAUCAUUGCGGAAGCGGUUCCGCAGUUGGCCACCGCAAUCCGAGCGAGGCAACAGCGAGCACGGAGGGUUUUUGAGACCGGUGGUAAUUCCGGUACUGGACCAUCGGACCACCAGACGCAGGGCGGUCAGUCUUCGGCUCCGGUCUCAGCAGCGACGGGCGGUCAGACUUCGGCUCCGGUAGUGCAUACGGGAAACGUCGGCCUAGCAGCGACGGGCGGCCAAGACGGAGAGCCUCCUCGUGACGUCGAUCUCAACCUCGACGAUUACGACAUCAUUGUAUAGAUUAGGUUUUUUUGUAAAAAACAAUUUGUAUUAAUUUUUUUUAUUUAUAAAUUAUUUUUGAAUUUAAAUUUCAAUUUAAAUUCAAAUUUUUUCUAUUUUUAAUUUUUUGAUUAUUUUAAAAAUUCAUUAAUUAAAUAAAAUCGAAUUAAAUAAUUAAUUUAUAAAUCGACGUAAAUUCGUCGUAAAUUUACGUCGAUUUACCGUCGAAUAUUUAACGACGAAUUUACGACGAAUAAGUUUACGUCGGCUUUACGUCGAAACUUUACGACGAUUUAACAUCGACAAUUAAAAAUUUAGUUUCCCUUAAUUGAAAUUGUUCGUCUCCUAAUCGUUGUUAAAUCGAUGUAAUUUUACAUCGAUUUAACGUUGUUUUUAUGAUGGAGUUCUUUCGUUGUACAUCCGUUGGAAAUUUUACGACGCAUUUACGACGAAUUGUUCCCGACGAUUUUACGACAAUUUUCCGGAGUUGGUAAUUUUACGACGAUUUUACGACGAUUUCGGUUUUACGACGAUCGUUUUACGACGAUUUUUAAUUUGUCGUUAAUCCGACGUAAAUGCUCUUUUACGUCGAUUUUACGUCGAUAUCUGCCGACGUAAAAGCCGAUCUUUCUUGUAGUGAAGACCCAAGACCCAAGACCCAAGACCCGAGCCCGGCUCGGCUCGGCGGCGGCGGCGGCGCGCGAGGGGUCCUUGGUUCUCCUUCACACACUUUGAACUAUGUCAUGUGUGUGUCUAUAUUUAUAUGACUAGAAAAUUUUCCAAUCCUCCAAUGUGGGACAAAAUGAUGUUCCUCACAAUUUAAGUUGCCUUGAAGGGCUUUAUUUUUAUUCACACUUGACCAAAUUUUAAAGCCUUUGGGCUUUGUAAUAAUUUGGGUCCAACAAUCCCCCACAUGAAUAGAAAUAACUCUAGACAUACGACCGGACUGACUCGAAGACUGGACUCGACUAGACUAAACUAAACGGACUUUCGAGAGUAUAAACGAAAAUUCCACUGUGUUUGAGAUAGUAGUAUGUUUCAACCUUGAACCACUCAAUGUUAAUAUCUGUCGGGCUUACUCAGCUAGAAGGUGAACAUGAUGUCUUGAACCACCCGAAUUUUGAUGUAAACCGAGACAACAAAUACAACUCAGUUUCAUUUUCUCGUAGAACUAUGUUCUCUAUUGUGUUCAUUUUGGCCUUGAACUUGCCUGGUUAAUCAUGAGUGAAGUUGGAGAAUAUAGCCUUUUGUUUUUCCAUUCUCAUAGAAACGGCCCCAUUUCACACUCACUAGGUGAUUUGCCAGUAGUCUUUGUUUUAAGAAGUGUUGUACUUCACUGAUAUAUCAAAGCUACGGUCUUCUCAUUAACAGCUUUGCUUAUCCUUUGAAAAUAUACAAUGAAAAUUGUAUGUAAGCACUGUCAAUCAUCUUGGGACCUAGGUUAAGACUAUACGUCUUUCAGUGCUUUAGAUUUUGUUUGAUUUAGUUUUCCCUUUUGAACCAUACAUCUUGAGAUCUCCAGUCAUGUAGGUGGGGUUUCCAUCAAACAACCUCUUUAGUCAUAGGCUUUAAACCCAUUCCCUUUGACGAUUUGAGAACUUGAUCACGAGCUAGACCCUUAGUGAAUGGAUCUGCUAGAUUAUCAGCUGAUUUUAUGUAAUCUAGUGAGAUUACUCCGGUUGUGAUCAAGCUUCUAAUGGAUUUAUGUCGCUUUCUUAUGUGACGAGAUUUACCAUUAUAGAGAUUAUUUAGUGCCCGGGCGAUAGCUGAUUGACUAUCACAGUGUACACGUAUUGCCGGGACUGGUUUCUCCCACAUUGGAAUAUCUUCCAAGAAAUUUCGGAGUCAUUCGGCCUCCUCUGCAGCUUUAUCUAAAGCUAUAAAUUCAGACUCCAUGGUUGAUCGGGCCAGUAGAGUUUGUUUGGAAGACUUCCAAGAGACUGCUGCACCAGCAAGGGUAAAGACAUAUCCACUUGUGGAUUUUGAGUUUUUGGUGUCAGAUAUCCAGUUUGCAUCACUGUAUCCUUCCAAAACUGCGGGUUCUCUCCCAUAGUGCAGCCCAUAACUUUUAGUGUAUCGAAUGUAAUUUAAUACUCUAGUUAUGGCUUUCCAGUGUUUGUGUCCUGGAUUAUUUGUAUAGCGACUAAGUACAUUUACCGCGUGUGCUAGAUCAGGUCUAGUACAAUUGGUUAAGUACAUAAGGCUACCAAUUAUCCUUGCAUACUCGACUUGUGACACUGCUUCACCUGAGUUUUUGGUCAAGUGAAGUUGAGAGUCAACAGGAGUUUUUGCAGUUCCAUUUGAAUAGGUUUUAAACCGUUCAAGUAUCUUUUCAGCAUAAUGUGCUUGAGACAAGGUAAUCCCAUCAGAAGUUCUUGUGAUUUGUACCCCAAGAAUGACAUCUGCUAGACCCAUGUCUUUCAUGUCAAACUGUGCACUAAGCAUAUUCUUAGUUUGUUGGAUUAUGUCAUUAUUGCUGCCAAUAAUUAACAUGUCAUCUACAUAUAAACAUAGUAGGAUAUAUCCAUUAGGGGUCGUUUUUAUGUAAAUGCAUUUAUCACAUUCGUUUAUGCUGAAGCCAUCUGACAUCAUCGCAUUGUCAUAUUUUUCAUGCCAUUGUUUUGGUGCUUGUUUAAGUCCAUACAACGACUUCACAAGUCUACAGACUUUGUGUUCUUGUCCCGGGACUACAAAUCCUUCGGGUUGUUUCAUAUAGAUUUCCUCGUCUAAUUCACCGUUUAGAAAGGCUGUUUUGACGUCCAUCUGGUGGAUUUCCAAAUUUCGUAAGGCUGCAAUUCCAAUCAGCAUUCUGAUGGAAGUUAUUCUCAUUACUGGAGAAUAAGUGUCAAAGAAAUCCAGACCUUCUUUUUGUCGGAAUCCUUGCACUACAAGUCUAGCCUUAUAUUUAUCAACUGAGCCAUCGGUCUUCAAUUUCGUUUUGAAGAUCCAUUUACACCCUAGAGCUUUAAACCCUUCAGGUAACUCAGUGAUUUCAUAAGUAUGAUUCCGUCUAAUGGAAUCCAUCUCACUAUUGACUGCUUCCUCCCAAAGAGGUGCAUCGGGAGUGGACAUAGCUUCAGUAAAUGUUCUUGGUUCGUUUUCGGUGAGAAAGACCAUCAAGAACUCAGGACCGAAGGAUUUUUCCUUACGAGCUCUUUUGCUGCGUCUAGGUUCUAUCUCUUCGUCUUCUGAAGCAGGAACCCCAGAUGUGGUUGCCACAUCUUCCAGAGGACGUUUUAGAUUUUGUCUAUCCUUGCACGGGAAAAUGUGUUCAAAAAAUGAAACAUUUCUUGAUUCCAUUAUUGUAUUCACCUGAAUAUCGGGUACAUCUAAUUUGUGAACCAGAAACCGAUAAGCACUACUGUUGCGUGCAUAUCCAAUGAAAAUACAAUCAACAGUUUUUGGUCCUAUGGUGACCUUUUUAGGUGGUGGCACAGCGACCUUUGCUAAGCACCCCCACACUCUCAUGUAUUUGUACGAAGGUACUCUACCUGUCCAUAGUUCAUAUGGCGUUUUGCCAGUUACUUUGUGCGGUAUUUUGUUGAGGAUAUAGUUUGUAGUGAGAAUUGCUUCCCCCCACAGAUUCUGGGGUAGCCCAGAUUCCUGCAACAUUGCAUUCAUCAUCUCUUUAAGAGUUUGAUUUUUGCGUUCCGCAAUUCCAUUAGAUUCUGGUGAGUAGGGAGCGGUGGUCUGAUGUAUAAUGCCUUUUUCUAGACAGAAAACAUUGAAUGGACCAUCAUAUUCGCCUCCUCUAUCACUCCUAACAAUUUUAAUAGUUUUACCGAGUUGAUUUUCAACUUCGAUUUUAUAUUCUUUGAAUUUCUCCAAGACUUCAUCUUUACUUCUUAGUAAAUAGAUGUAACAGUAUCUUGUACAAUCAUCAAUGAAAGUUACAAAAUACUUCUUACCUCCUCUAGAUUUUACUAACUUUAAGUCGCACAAAUCUGUGUGUAUGAGGCCUAGAGGUUCGGUAGUUCGAUCGACAUGAGGAGAUGGAGUUUUUGUGAGUUUUUGUACGCAUGUCUCACAUUUAUUUUUGCUUAUUUUGCAUUUGGGGAUUAAGUUCGAAUUUAUUAAUCUUUGUAUAGAUUUAUAAUUCACAUGUCCUAAUCGUUCAUGCCAUAAAUCAAAAGACUCAACCAAGUAAGAAGAUUCAUUCUUAUUAAUUGACCUGGUAGAAGGUACAUCAUUUUUGAGGACAGUCAUUACACACAUUUUGAUUAAGUCCUCCUUAACAUAACCCUUCCCAAUAAAAACCCCAUGUUUCCUUAAAAUCAGCUGGUUAGAUCCAAUGCGGACGUCGAAUCCGUGCUUGUUGAUCAUGGUUCCAGAGAUCAGGUUUUUCCUCAUUUUUGGCACAUGCUUCACAUUGGUGAGGGUGACUUCUUUUCCCGAAGUCAUCUUUAAGACCACAUUGCCUAUGCCUUCAAUCUUGGAGUAUGACUCAUUUCCCAUCAACAAGUGCGCAUUGUUCUUGCAUUUCUUGUAGGUUGAGAACUGGUCUUUGUCCAUGCAGAUGUGAGUGGUUGCACCAGUGUCAUACCACCACGUUUUUGGGUUUGGCUCAACCAUGUUGACUUCUGUGACCAUUGCACACAGAUCAGCUUGAGUCAAGUUGGCUUGUCCUUUGUUGUCCCUCAGCCUGCUUCGACAUUCAUUGGAGGUGUGGCCCUUCUUGUUGCAAUAGGUGCACUUCCCAACAAAUUUGGUUUUGGGAGUUUCCUUUUUGAAGGAAGUGGAUGAUGAUGGAGCAAACUUGUUUUGCCUUCCUUUGGGAGGAAAUUUCCCGUUGCCUUUGACUUUCCCUUUUCCCUUGUUCUUGAACUCUGCUACAUUUGCAUUGUAGGAGUGAAAUGGUUCAGGGUUGACAGGCGUGGCAGCUUUUACCUCGCGUUUCAAAGACUCAUUUUGCAGCCUGGAAAUCAGAUUUGACAAGGUCAUAGACUUCUGCUUAUGAUCCAGAUAGUUUCUGAAGUCUGCCCAGCUAGGAGGUAGCUUGUCGACGAAGCAAUUCACUAUGAAGGUUUCACAGAUCUUCAUUCCUUCAUCAGCGAUUUCUUGACAAAUCAUCUGAAGUUCAUGGACUUGUUCCAUGAUGGGCCUUGAGUCCACCAUCAUGUACCUCGUAAAUUUGGAGGUUGCAUACCUUCCAGAGGAUACAUUGAAAGUCUUGUACUUCUUAUCCAAAGCUUCCCAGAGAUCCUUGGACGACUUGAUUUCGCAAUAGACAUUGAACAAUUGGUCAACCAAGCGGCUCUGGAUGUAGCCUUUGCAAAGGAAGUCCCCAUGGACCCAUGCUUCAACGCUUGCAACAGCACGCACAUCAGUAUUCCCAGUGGGCAAAGCAGGUUUGUCCUCGGUGAGAUACCUAUCCAAAUGCAGAGUGCACAGGAAAAAGUGCAUCUUUUGCUGCCACUGUUUGAAGUUGGUACCAUCAAACUUAUCCGGUGAGAUACCUGCAGCAAUAGCGCUGGGUAAAUUCGGAAUGUUUGUGGGUAGGGAUCCGAGUGCUGCACCUCCAACCGCUAAGGGUGUUGAUUCAGCGACAUCCUCUUGUCUUCCAUCAACGGAUUUCUCCACAUUUUUCGACAUCUGUUCCAAACGAGACAGGAAAAAAAAUGUCAGAUUCGUUGAAUAGAAUCGAUAGAAUAGCGAUUAAAAUAAGAGUCGCUAAUUUAUGCGUUCUGCGGAAACGCUAUAGAGCGGCCGUAGAAUCGCGUUUGAGUUUUGAACUCGAAAAGACGUUCACGGAUUUAACCGAGACGAUUUACAGACGCGGAAAGGAAGUUAUAAAAACUGUCCUUGUGUGGUCCAAUAGCGUUUCGCGUAACUUGCCAAAGGCCUUCGCGGAAACGGUUUCUUGUUAUAAAAAAAAAUCGUUUUUUCCUUAAAAACGUUUUCUGAAAAUCGUUUGUAUAGCAAUAUAGGAUCCGAUUCAAGCGAUAAGCAGGAUCGGAUUAUUUUGAAUUAAGACUGUAGGAAGUAAAUUUAGAGGAGACAAAUAUUGCAAUGUAAGAAAACGAUUUGAGAUACAGAAAAACGUUUUAUGAAAGCGGAUUAAGGAAAAACGAGAAGUGGAGGCGAGAUGAUCUCUUUCCUUAAUUCAAAAUAUCUCCCGCAGUGUGGCGGUUGGAUGAGAUAUAGAAUCCCAGGAUACAACCACUAGUAUUCGUAUAAUCGCAGCACCCGAUUAUAGAAUGUGACGAACUGAUAUUCUACGAUAUACUCUCGGACACUUACUCUUGAAAGAAGAAAGGAGACGCGAGAGAUUUGAAGGAAAAAUGUGAAUGAUUUUUCUCUGUAAAUUUUCUGUAGAGAGCGAUCAAAAUUGGAAGAGGAAAAGUCGAUAUAUGUAGCAAAGGAGAGAGGAUCGUCGCACUUAAUCAGCGUGUUAAUGACGAGAUUAAUUUUGCGCUAAUGAUGUGAUUUGGGCGUUUAUCUUGGCGUGAUUUUCGGGAGAGACAUUUGACUGCAGUUUAAUGUCGUGAUUCUGUUAAGAAUUUGAACCGAAAACUUUAGCAAUUUGGGCCAGAAAUGUUGACCAAAACGAGGCCCAAAAAGAACAUCUUUUGUGGGCCGAAGACCCACAUUCACCAAGACCCAAGACCCGAGCCCGAGACCGAGCCCGGCUCGGCUCGGCGGCGGCGGCGGCGUGCGAGGGAUCCUUGGUUCUCCUUCACACACUUUGAACUAUGUCAUGUGUGUGUCUAUAUUUAUAUGACUAGAAAAUUUUCCAAUCCUCCAAUGUGGGACAAAAUGAUGUUCCUCACAAUUUAAGUUGCCUUGAAGGGCUUUAUUUUUAUUCACACUUGACCAAAUUUUAAAGCCUUUGGGCUUUGUAAUAAUUUGGGUCCAACAAUUGUUAAAUUAGCAGCAUGUUCUAUAUGUAGUAGAUUGGUUGGUAAAGUAAAUCAGUCAUAGUCAGUGAAGACCUAAGGUAAAUUCAUUUUCUAAAAUCAAAAACAUUUAUUAUGAUAGAUAUUUGGCUAGUGGUAUAUGCUCGUAUUCAUAUAAUAAUUGAAUGAUGUUUGUAUACAUGCCAGUCGUCCUCAUUUCAUUUUCUAAACCAAAACCAUUUAUGAUCAACGAGAUUUUGGUUUGUAUAUGCUGAAUUCCAUAAGCGGAUGCCUCCAGAAGCCAUUGACCUUGCAUCUCGGCUUCUACAAUAUUCACCGAGUCUACGUUGCACUGCGGUCAGUAUCUCUACUAUACACGACCAAGUAUUUGUUGGAAUAAGCUUGAAGAAACUUGAAGUGUAAGUUUCCUAAUCCUAAUCAAAGUGUGUUUUAUAGAAGGUUAGGAUUAGAAAAGAAAAUUUAGGAGUUAUCUAAAUAAGAAAUUUGUUUCUCUAUUGGAAUUAGGAGUUAGCUAUUUUAUUCUCUAUAUAAGAGUUGCCAAAGUUGUGGUAAACCUUAUGAGUUGAAAGAAAUAUUAAGAGAGGUUUUAGUUUUUGAGUGAUUUUUCUAAAGCUAAUAAAAGAAGUUGCUUUUAUUCAUACUUGAUCUAAGUCUCAAUUCUAUAACUGGUAUUGUUGGGGUCGGUUUCAUCCCAAUCGGUUUAAACCAUCUCAAGAACAUUGGAGAGCCGAUCCGACAAGGAGAACCGGUGACCUGUCGAAAAUGGGCCGAGCCCCACAGAAGAAGGCCAAGCUCAAGUGGGCCGAGCCGUGAGGUGAAAAUGGGUGAGCCGCGUAUGAGAGCAGACGGGCCGAGAUGUGUCGUGAGGUAUGGGCUGAGCUGCACUUAACAUGAUUGGACCGAGUCGCGCCUCGGCGAGUUAGGCCAAGUCGCGUCUCAACUCGAAUGGCAAGUGGGCCGAGCCGUAGAGAAGGUUAGAUGGGCCGAGCUGUGAGAAGAAUGGUGAGCAGGCCUAGCAGCGCGAGAGGAGGCAUGGGCCGAAUCGCUUCCCUGUGUGUUGGGUCGAGCCGGUUUUCCAAGAUGGGCCGAACCAAGGCUUUAGAAGACGAAAGCCCACAGAAUUCCUAGGCGAAGUAUUAUGACGGUGGCCACACGAAGCGAUAAGGAAAUAUACCUAAAAUCUCUCCCAAGAUUCUCGAAAGAGGCGUUUUAAGAAAUUAGUAUAAAUAGGAGAUUUCUACGAUUCAUUAUAUAACUUUUGCCACCCUAAGCAAUAAGACCUAAACACUUUAACAGCAAUAAAAAUCCUCUUUUGAUCUUACUGUUCUUGCGAUUACCCUAGAAGUUUCGGAUCCCUUAGUUUUUCUCUUACAAAUUUUUGGUUGUGUGAGUUUUGGCUCACACAAUUUGGCGCCGACUGUGGGGAACAUCGAAACUUUCUUACUCUAAACCGAAAAGACUUUAAGAUCCGAAGAACAUGGCGAGCAAUACCCCCGACGAUAACCACAACAACAGAAACAAUGGUAACGGCGCGGAGAAGGACGCUCUGGCAUCAGGCACAACGACGGCAGCGACCGAAACCCAAGAGGAGAUGCGAAACAUGAUGGCCGCGUUGAUGAGGAAAAUCGACGAGGAGGACAAACGAAACGAGGCGAUUACGGAGAGGCUCGACGCGAUGGCGGCUGAGCGACAACACCCAACCUGGAGAGCUGGAAUUCCCGACCCAAUGGAUGGAAUCCGGAGACGCUUCAACUUUUCAACGCCUGCAGAGGCCUCUGGGAGCGGCGCAAGAAACCCCUUGGUUCGCCCAAUGUUUCGUCCCCUCGGCGAACAGACUCCCGCGGCAACCCGAGUCAACAUGACUGAGCCGCCUCCACUCCGUCGGAACUCAAGGCGACGAGCCGGCGAGGAGGAGAAUGACGCGAUUGACGUGGACGCCCAGCAGAACGAUGGAACCACGAAUCCGCAACAAAAUGGCUCGGCUCGGCGGAUAAGCUAAGAAGAGCUCGCCUCGGCACUAAACGGCGUCCGGACUGACGAAGUCUCCGAUCCGACUCACGGCGACAACCCGACUGAAGAAGAAGAAAAUCUCCAAUGGAUCGAGCAGGUGAAGCGCGAAGACGAGCCGAGGAGAGAAGAGUAGGAGCGACUCCCCCAAUCAAAAGGAAUGACUCACGCGCAAACUCUCGAACUCAAAGAGUUGCGAGCCUCAAUGGCUCGGACAGUAGCUGAAAUACGCGCCAUGAAGUCUCAAGUGCACAACGCAACGAGUGCUGCGCCCGAGAUCGACCGGAUGCUUGAAGAAACUCAGAGAACUCCAUUCACGGCAAGAAUCACGGAGGCAAGGAUUCCCGAGCCCGGAAAAGUGAGAAUCCUGUUCUACGAAGGAACAACCGAUCCGAAAGCACACAUCACAGCGUUUCGGAUAGCAAUGGGACGAGCCUUCACAAAGAACGCUGCCAAACUGACCGAGCGGGAAGUAGAUGCCAGAUACUGCCUGCUCUUCGUGGAGCAUCUUAAGGGAGCCGCACUCGAGUGGUUUUCGAGGCAGGAACGCAACUCCAUCGGCAGCUUUCAACAGCUCUCUGCCUUGUUCCUUAAACAAUACUCGAUGUUUAUGGAUAGAGGAACGUCUGAUGCCGACCUGUGGACACUAUCCCAAGGACCGAACGAACCACUUCGAGAUUACAUGGCAAGAUUCAAGGCAGUCGUAUCCAAAACAGAAGGGAUAAGCGACAAGGCUGCACUCGAAGCUCUGAAACAAUCUUUGUGGUACAAAUCCGAGUUCCGACAGGAGAUGGCACUCAACACACCCCAAACAAUUCAAGACGCUUUGCACCGGUCAUCAGACUUUGUCGUAAACGAGGAGGAGAUGAAAAAUUUGGACGAGCAGUACGAAGCAACGAAAGCAGCAAUCCGAAGCUCAAUUUUGACGGGCCCCUCGAAGAAAGGCGACCCAUCGAACAACACAACAACGCAGAGCUCGGACGAACCUAGAAGCGGAGGUGCCCAUAACUACCAGGUAGGCACCGGACGCGGAAGAGGAGAGCCGCGCAACAACACUUGGGUAAGAAAGUCUGCUAACUACGACGAGAAGGCUUUCUGCGAAUAUCACCAGACCUACAGGCACUCAACGACACAAUGCCGAACGUUAGCAGCAAAACUCGCGGCUAAGAUGGCAGCGGGAGAGCUCCAAAACGCGGUCAACCUCAAAGACCUCGUCCCUAAUGAACCACAAGAAAGAGCCGAGCCGAGCGGCGCGGCUGAACCCGCAAAUCCUCCCCGACAAGGCGAUAACUCCAAGCGUGACAGGAGAGGCGAACCUGAAGAGCGACCCAAGCCGAGGCAAAUGAUCAAUAUGAUCAUGGGAGGAUCUCAAUACUACCAAGAUAUCGUGUCCUCCAUCAAAGCCUAUCAGCGCCGAGCCGAAGCGAAGGAGAAUUGGACAGAACCAACCGACAUCCUAAAUACAGUGAUCUCCUUCGCCGAGGAGGAAACGGCAGGAAUCGAUAGACCCCACAACGAUCCAUUGGUGAUUGAGUUAACAAUCAGGGAUCAUGACGUAGCGAGGGUGCUCAUCGAUAUUGGAAGCUCGGUGAACGUCAUCUUCAGGGACACACUCAGAAGAAUGGGAAUCGACCUCUCCGAGGUGGAAGCAAUCCCCAAACGUCUAACCGGAUUUUCAGGAGAAACGACGAUGACUAUGGGAACGAUCAGGCUCCCUGUGGUAGCUGGCGGAGUCACGAAGAUCGUUGAAUUCUGCGUCACCGAUCACCCAACAAUCUAAAAUGUGAUUAUGGGAACUCCAUGGAUCAACGGAAUGAGGGUGGUCCCCUCCACCUAUCAUCUCUGUCUCAAGUUCCCGACUCCAGCGGGUGUCAAAAUGAUCUGGGGGAAUCAGAAGGAGUCACGAAUGUGCUGCCUAGCAUAGCACAAGCUGAGGAACCCCGUCACCGACGCACGAGCAGACAUAGAUCGCAAAAAGAUGAAGACAGACCGAGAGCCUGCGAACAAGCUCUUGAAACUCUUAUAGCACUUACAGAUCGCGGAGAGCCGCAAAACACGCGCCGAGCCGGUAUGUGAUGCGGUGGACUCGGUGUGCAUAGACGAGGCGCGUCCGGAGUGAUGCGUCAAAAUUGGAGCAAAACUAGAAGAGCCUCUGAGAAGCAAACUCCUUUCCCUCCUCAAGGAGAACAUCAACACUUAUGCCUGGACAGCGGAAGAUAUGCCAGGCAUAAGCAUCGACGUGACCUGUCACGAGCUGAACGUGGACCCGACCUUUUGAUGUGCUCGUGUCAACUACGUGAGGGAACAAGUUUUACCCUUAACAAGACAAAUGAAAGCCGCAAGUGCACAGCGAAUCAGUUGUAGUAUUUAGGGAUCAAAUCCACAGAGAUUUGUGUACCUGGUAUUCUUCUACGGUUUUUAACUUUAUGUCUAGACUAAAUUGGUUUUAAAGGUUAGUUGUUUUUCUUGCGAAUUAAACUAAAACAAAAGAAAGCAAAUAAAUAUAUCCUAAAAAACAGGUAAGAAAAUCGAAUGAAAUGCAAUUAGAAUAGGCAAAUAUCGAAUGAAAGACUAAUAAGGCAAGUAAGAUAUCGCAUGAAAAGUAAAUAAAGCAAGUAAAUAAUGAACUAAGAAAAUUGAAAUGCAGGUCUAAAAAAGCAAGUAAAAAUCGAUGGAAUUGUAAACUAUGGCUAAAAACGCUGAGCUUUUGGGAACUCUAAGGGAUCAUAAUCGGUUUUAACACUAAGGUAGAUAGAUUGGGAUUGACAGAUAACGAUAUAUGGGUUCUAGAGCUAGAGUACGGCGGUAUGACUACGUCACUGUCGUGAUCAUAACCAACAGUUUCUCGCAACCCUGACCAGUAGGUUUCCACUCUGGCCCUGGAAGGGAGAGAACGCAAGAGCUGCACAAGACUCGUCAAUACUCACGAUCUCGCCGCAGGUAGGUUUCCACUCCUACGGAAAAAUCGCCUGUUUCAUUCUAGGGCUGAUACUUAAUGAAAACUUUCGCAACACUAACUAUCUAGAUCAGAUACUAGGUGAUCAAUCAAGCAUACAUGCAAUAAGAACAAGAAUAAACAGAGAACAGGUCGAAAUCCCAGAUCUAUAAACCUAGAUGUCUUAAUCGAUUAUGAGAGCCCCUUUCGGGAACCCUAAGCCCAACUCGGGAUCUACUCAGACAUGGCUGAGUUCGAAAUCAUCAUUGGUUUUAAUAUAAGUAAUGAAAAACAGUAAAGAAAAGAGAUAAAGAAAGCUUCUCUAUUGAAGAACUCGGACUUGAACAAUCUUCUACAAAAAUCUCAUAAAAACGGCUAAAGGAAAAGGGUUUAUGUAAAGUAUGAAGGGUUCUCCUUAAAAACGACCUAAAUGACAUGUAUUUAUAGUCUCCAAUACUCUAUGGUCUCUAGGGUUCCAGAAUUGAGGCUGAGAAUGACUUUGGGCUUCAGAUAAGUGGGCUUUAACUCGGAGAUUGAUUGCCGCAGUCGGGAGUGUUGUGACCGUGGCAAUUGGCUUGUUGGCCGCGGUCGGGAAGCUUCUGACCGCGGCAAAUAGCUUGUUGGCCGCGGUCGGGUGAGUUGUUGACCGACUUCGAAUGGCUCCGGGGCUAAUGAAAUAUCUUGAGAUCCAACCAUUGGAAUGUCUCCAAACCAAGUGAAUUUGAAAGCUGGUUGAUUCUUCUAUAAGUUGUCCAAUUUUGAGGGUGAUCAGACGGUGAGAAGGUCUUCGUCUCUCCAUGAGAGUUCUGACGGUCUGCAUUUAUCCAAAAGAGUCUUUUUGUUCCAUUUUGUGCCUCUUUAUCCCAAAUUACCUGAAAAGUCUUUUAAAAUCUGGAAACAUAGAAAUCCUUUGAAAACCUUUGAAAAUGGAGUAAAAACACCUGUAAAAGAUAUUAAAAUGAUCCAUAAAAAUGGUCAAAAUCCGGUGUUAUCAACUCUUCCAGACUUAGUCUUUUGUUUGUCCUCAAAGAAAAUAAGGCUAAAUCUCGGCGAGAGGUUUGAAAACGCAGGAACUAAACAAAAUCUCAGAGACCAAACUUCUAGACCAAUAUCAAUCAGUAUGCAUCAAUAGGAAUAGCCUAGAAAAUUCUCACUAGCAAUACAGGCAUAACUAGUCCGUUAAUCCGUCAUGCAGAAAUCUAUGCACUAAGAUCUAACUUCCAGUCAACUAGCUCUUAACAUUCAUUAAAAAUCUCGGUGGUUCUCAUCAAAGAAAAUCUAGGCAAGGCGAUCUAGGCUAGGUGUCAAGAAGGAUUAUUUUGGGGGGUAAGGCUUAAAGUGUUUACGGGUUACCUGAAGAUUUGGAGGAUGCAGGAUAUUAUGCAAAACCGCAAGAGAGAGUGAAGCUAUUGGUAUCCACAGUUUUCAGUUGGUGAGAAGAUGGAGAAUAAAAGCGAAAUAAAAUAAAAUAAAAAGAAAAGAAAAUGAUGAUAGAACCGUGAUGGUAGUGAAGUGCUGAUCAAUCACUCAUCCUCCGAAGUGUCGUCUGCGAACUGGUUUCGUCCAUUUUCUGCAAAAUGAAAUGAUUCUUGGAAAAAGAGUUAAUAUGGAUGCUGAUUUUAACACAUUAAGAUUUGUUACACUAAUACUAGCAUAAAGAGAUUAAUUAAAACCAUGAGCAAACAAAAUUGAUAUUGAAUCAGAGAAAUCAAGUAGUUCAUGACUAAAUUCGGAUUUUUGAUGUUCUUAACAUAGAAAUCUUCUAAAAAUCGGUUUUGAUGAGCAAUUUCCAUGUAAAAUUCUAAAGAUUACCCAAUACUAAUCACUAAUCACACAAGACUAAAUCAAAUUCAUCAAUUUUGCUGUUCCAAAUUCGAUUUUUAUUAAGCAUGUAGAAUCCAAAUUUCAAAAAUCUCAAUUUCUCUUAAGCUAAGUGCUAAAUCGAUUUUUAGAUAACCUAAAUGGAUAAUGUAUCAUUCUUAAGCUAUUUCCACCAUCAAUAGACCAAGAUUUUGGGUUUUUAAAGAAAACCCUAAGUUCAAAUCGAGUAAGAAUGGUGAAUUUGAGGUUCAUACCUUGCUGGAAAGAGAGAAUUGAUGGCAGAAUUGAAAUCAGCUUUGAAAAAGAGUGAGGUUUGAGCCAAAAAUCUCUUAAAAAGCUUAAGAAUUGAAAAAUGUGUUCUUUCUCCUAGAUCUUUAAGUCUUUUGGAAGAGAGGAGAAGAAAGAGUUUUGAUCCAAAAAGUUUGUUUCUUUUCUUUAAAAAGCAUUUUUGAAGCAAAAACGAAAAAUUUCUGGAAAUUUUUAAGUUUAUGGGAACUUACCUUUUCUUGUUUGCACAUUAGGAAAGUUCAAAACUUACGGAGGAUCUUUUCGGGUUUUACCGGGAACAUUUCGGGAAACACCGGGAAUCACCAGGCAACACCGGGAAAUACCGAAAAAGGCAGAAAUCCGCGGCAUCACCUCAACGACCAACGGCCGCGGUCAGGAGACGCGCGACCGCGGUGAUUGAGGGCUCGGCCGCGGUCAUGUUCACGGUGCCGCGGUCGACGCACCCUUGGCCACGGGUCGAACGGUCGCCACCGCGGCUCUUCCUCCUGCGGCCUAUUGUCCAAUCUUCUAGUCUUUGCCGGGCCGAGCGGCUAAAAACCUACCUUUUCUUCUUGGUUUUUCUAAUUUUCUGAUUUUUUUGUGUUUUUGUUUUAUAACAUACCUAAAACUUAAAAAGAAAAAGAAAGCAUAAAUUGUAAAAAGGAAAAGAAAACUAAAAGAAAGAGUACCUAAAUGGGUUGCUUCCCAUUAAGCGCUUUUGUUUUAAGUCGUUUAGCUCGACGUAAGCAUGAGGAAUCAGGCUGAUUUGAAUGGCACUCCACUUGAUGUGCCUUUAUCACUUCCGGUUGCUGGAGGUUUUACUUCUUCUCCUUGAGGAGAAGUCUUCUUACCUUUACUCUUCUUUCGGACUUUAAUGUUGUUCAGAACCCUUUUUGUGUUUUUGAUCAGCUCCUGGAUUUGGUCCUCACUAGUUUCUGUUGCAUCUGGUGGAAUGAUGAUCUUGAUCUUUGCAAAAGCUUUCGGCUUCUCCUUUUCUUUCUCUUUUGGCAUGUUUCCUUUGCUUGGAAAUUCUUCUAAGAUAGUAGGAUAGUACAUUUUUCUGUCCACAUUGAGGAAAACAGCAUGCCGGUUUGCGUGAUCGAUAAUUGCUCCUACUGUAGCUAGGAAUGGUCUCCCGAAAAUGAGUGGCCUCUCCAUGUCUUUAUCCAUCUCUAGGACUUGGAAAUCUGCUGGAACAGUCUUAUCUCCCACUAGAACUUGUAGAUCGUGAAUCGCCCCUUCAGUAUCUUUUUGAGAUAAAUCUCCAAAGAUAACCUUAACCGUCGAUGUCCUUAAGGUUUUUAUGCCCAAUUUUUCGGCAAAUGUCUUAGACAUGAUGUUGACAUUGGCUCCGGAAUCGCACAAGCAGUCUGUAAACUUGAUUCCUGAAAUGAAACACUGGAAAACAAAACGUCCCGGAUCAUCGGCUUUGGUAAGCCUUUGAAACGGUGAUAGUUCAGGUACCUUAAACGGUGGCUGCUUGGGAUCGAUAUCCUUGUACAGCGGUACAAAGAUUGGGGUUUCUUCUUUCUUUCCAUCGGUUCCGGCCUCUUCUUCGGGCAAUGUGGUUAUGGCGUUGCAAAACUUCUUAGCGUUAUCUUCAACUCUUCCUGGAAGAACUCCACUUUUCCUCUUCAUAGAGUCGGCCGUUUGGGCGACUUGCACAUCUAAUUUUUUUACGUGCGAAGAUAAAGAUUCAAACUUACCAUUCAGAUCAUUGUACAUGCAGACCACUUUCACGUUCACGUCUUUAGAUGCUUUUUCGUUCGUCAUAACGAGCUGUUGGAUUGACUGUUCAAGUCUACCGAUUUGUGAAGCUAGCUGGUUCGUCGUGACUCCCUGCUGUUGUACAAAUUGAUUGUUAAAACCCGUACCUUGGUAGUUAUAUGGCUGUCGCGGUUGAUAUGGUACUAUUCCUCCAAAGUUUCCACCUUGAAACUUGUUUUGGAAGGAUUUUUGCUGAGGUGGGUAGUACUGAUCUUGAGGAUUCUCCACAUUUGGAUUGCGGUAAGAGAGAUUGUUGUAAUUUGCAUUCCGGAAGUUGUUGUUGAAGUUGUUGUUGGAGCGAUUUUGGUAUGGCAUUAGUGCUCCUACGUAGUUCACAUCUUCUUCUUGAAAUGCUUGAUUAAUGUGAUCGAUAUCACUAGGUCCUUCCUCUUCUGCGCCAUUUUUGGUUUCACAGGCAUGGAUCGGGCGAUUGUUGCUCUUCAGAAGCUGGUUCACCAUGUUCUUCAACUCGGUUAUCUCCUUGUUGUCUGUUCCGGAUUGCUUCAUCGAUCGAUCGUAUUCAGGACAGUCAUUGCUAUUGGCUUGAGCCAAAUUUUCGAUGAGAGCUCUUCCUUGGGUUAUCGUCUUUUGCCCAAAAUCUCCAUUGCUAGCUGUAUCAAGUGAAAGUUUGUAUUUUGGUUGCAAACCUCGAUAAAAUGUGCUUAGCAGGCUUGAUCCAUGAAAUCCAUGGUGAGGAGUCACGUUCAUAUUCCUUAAAACGUUCCCAAGCUUCAUAGAAAGAUUCAGUUGGCCCUUGUUGAAAGGUUGAGAUCUUCGUUCUCAAAUUGUUCGACCUUGACUUAGUGUAGAAGUGGUUUAGGAAAGCAGUUCUACAUUCUUCCCAAUUGGUAAUCGAUCCUGCAGGCAAAGACUUCAACCAACGGUGAGCUUUAUCUGCUAAUGAAAAAGGGAACAACUUACACUUUAAAUAGUCAGGUGGAACUUGGUUUGUUCUCAUCAUGCUGCAAAUUUCUUCAAAAAGCUCGAUAUGGUCCAUUGGGUGCUCAGAAGGAACUCCAUGGAACUGGUUUUGCUUCACCAAUGAGAUGAUUUGAGGCUUGACUUCAAACUCAUUCCGGUUUGGAAAUGGUACUUGAAUCGCAGAUCGAUUCUGAAAAUUUUGAGUAUGUGCAUCAAAAUCAGCUAUGCGAUGGUUCUUGGCUUGUCUUUGGUGUUGAUUUGCUGGCGGAAUGGGGCGGUGAAUGCGUUUAUUCGGCUGCAUUGCUGGGUGGUCACCAUCGGCUGCAUUGAUGGGUGGAUCAAGGUCUUCACGUCCUUCUCUCUCUCGGUUCUGGUGGUUUCUUGGAAGAACCUCAUCCUCCUCUCCAUCUUGUCGAGCAUGAUCACCUUUUAUGUGAUCAUUCUCUUUGUUUUCUCCAUGUUCGGACCCGUCUUGGUCCAUAUUUAAAUUUCGAUUAAUAGGAUCUCUAGGCUGGUCGUCGUUGGCCAUUCCUUGCGUUCGUCUAAGUCUUCGAAGUUUUCUUUCGUGUCUGUCUAUCUCGUCUAGAAUUGGAAUGUCUCCUGCAGGUCUACGCCUGGUAUUCAUGAAAUUCAGAGAAAAACAAAAGAAGGGAAAGAUAGUUCAGAAAAACUUUAAGAAAGAACUAGAGAUCAGGUGUCUAGAACAGAAGUUAAAACAAGAAAAAUAGCAAAAGGCAGCGAAACAAAUCCCCGGCAACGGCGCAAAAAACUUGAUGUGCUCGUGUCAACUACGUGAGGGAACAAGUUUUACCCUUAACAAGACAAAUGAAAGCCGCAAGUGCACAGCUAAUCAGUUGUAAUAUUUAGGGAUCGAAUCCACAGAGAUUUGUGUGCCUGAUAUUCUUCUACGGUUUUUAACUUUAUGUCUAGACUAAAUUGGUUUUAAAGGUUGGUUGUUUUUCUUGCGAAUUAAACUAAAACAAAAGAAAGCAAAUAAAUCUAUCCUAAAAAACAGGUAAGAAAAUCGAAUGAAAUGCAAUUAGAAUAGGCAAAUAUCGAAUGAAAGACUAAUAAGGCAAGUAAGAUAUCGCAUGAAAAGUAAAUAAAGCAAGUAAAUAAUGAACUAAGGAAAUUGAAAUGCAGGUCUAAAAAAGCAACUAAAAAUCGAUGGGAUUGUAAACUAUGGCUAAAAAUGCUGAGCUUUUGGGAACUCUAAGGGAUCAUAAUCGGUUUUAACACUAAGGUAGAUAGAUUAGGAUUGACAGAUAACGAUAUAUGGGUUCUAGAGCUAGAGUACGGCGGUAUGACUACGUCACUGUCGUGAUCAUAACCAACAGUUUCUCGCAACCCUGACCAGUAGGUUUCCACUCUGGCCCUGGAAGGGAGAGAACGCAAGAGCUGCUCAAGACUCGUCAAUACUCACGAUCUCGCCGCAGGUAGGUUUCCACUCCUACGGAAAAAUUGCCUUUUCAUUCUAGGGCUGAUACUUAAUGAAAACUUUCGCAACACUAACUAUCUAGAUCAGAUACUAGGUGAUCAAACAAGCAUACAUGCAAUAAGAACAAGAAUAAACAGAGAACAGGUCGAAAUCCCAGAUCUAUAAACCUAGAUGUCUUAAUCGAUUAUGAGAGCCCCUUUCGGGAACCCUAAGCCCAACUCGGGAUCAACUCAGACAUGGCUGAGUUCGACAUCAUCAUUGGUUUUAAUAAAAGUAAUGAAAAAAAGUAAAGAAAAGAGAUAAAGAAAGCUUCUCUAUUGAAGAACUCGGACUUGAACAAUCUUCUACAAAAAUCUCAUAAAAACGGCUAAAGGAAAAGGGUUUAUGUAAAGUAUGAAGGGUUCUCCUUAAAAACGACCUAAAUGACAUGUAUUUAUAGUCUCCAAUACUCCAUGGUCUCUAGGGUUCCAGAAUUGAGGCUGAGAAUGACUUUGGGCUUCAGAUAAGUGGGCUUUAACUCGGAGAUUGAUUGCCGCAGUCGGGAGUGUUGUGACCGCGGCAAUUGGCUUGUUGGUCGCGGUCGGGAAGCUUCUGACCGUGGCAAAUAGCUUGUUGGCCGCGGUCGGGUGAGUUGUUGACCGACUUCGAAUGGCUCCGGGGCUAAUGAAAUAUCUUGAGAUCCAACCGUUGGAAUGUCUCCAAACCAAGUGCAUCUGAAAGCUGGUUGAUUCUUCUAUAAGUUGUCUAAUUUUGAGGGUGAUCAGACGGUGAGAAGGUCUUCGUCUCUCCAUGAGAGUUCUGACGGUCUGCAUUUAUCCAAAAUAGUUUUUUUGUUCCAUUUUGUGCCUCUUUAUCCCAAAUUACCUGAAAAGUCUUUUAAAAUCCGGAAACAUAGAAAUCCUUUGAAAACCUUUGAAAAUGGAGUAAAACCACCUGUAAAAGAUAUUAAAAUGAUCCAUAAAAAUGGUCAAAAUCCGGUGUUAUCACCUUUAAGCCAAUCAAGCAGAAAAGAAGAAAGCUCGGCCCCAAACGAGCUAAAGCAGUUAACGACGAAGUCGAGAGAUUACUCAAAGUAGGAUCAAUCGCCGAGGCCAAAUAUCCGGACUGGCUCGCGAAUCCGGUGGUCGUGAAGAAGAAGAACGGCAAGUGGCGGGUCUGUGUGGAUUUCACUGACCUCAACAAGGCGUGCCCAAAAGACAGUUUUCCCUUGCCACACAUCGACCGGCUUGUCGAAGCCACUGCAGGAAAUAGAUUGUUAACAUUUAUGGACGCGUUCUCUGGCUACAAUCAGAUCCUGAUGCAUCCUGAUGAUUGGGAAAAAACGGCAUUUAUAACUGAUCGCGGGAUAUACUGCUACAAAGUCAUGUUGUUCGGGCUCAAGAACGCGGGAGCAACAUAUCAACGGCUCGUCAAUAAAAUGUUCGCGGCUCAGCUCGGAAAAACCAUGGAGGUAUACAUUGACAACAUGUUAGUCAAAUCACUCAAGGAGGAAGACCACGUCGCGCAUCUACGGGAAUGCUUCGAGCAAUUGAACAAGCACAACAUGAAACUAAACCCGGCAAAGUGCAGAUUUGCGGUCACCUCGGGAGAAUUCCUCGGCUAUCUGGUAACUCACUGAGGCAUAAAAGCAAACCCCAAGCAGAUCAAGGCAUUAAUCGAGAUGCCCUCUCCAAGGACGAAGCACGAAGUGCAAAAGCACACAGGAAGGGUCGCCGCGCUAAACAGGUUUAUUUCCCGUUCUACCGACAAGUGCCUGCCUUUCCACGACACCCUUCGGGGAAACAAGAAAUUCGAGUGGGACGAGCGAUGCGAAGCAGCUUUCCAAGAGUUGAAGAAUUAUCUGGCGAGUCCACCGAUCUUAGCAAAACCAGUCGAAGGAGAGCCGCUCUUCCUCUACAUCGCCGUAUCUGCUACAGCUGUGAGUGGAGUGCUUAUCAGAGAAGAACGACCCGAGCAAAAACCCAUUUUCUACAUCAGCCAGACACUGACCGACGCCGAGACCCGCUACCCCCAGAUCGAGAAGGUCGCCUUAGCCGUCGUAGUCUCGGCUCGCAAACUGCGCCCGUAUUUUCAACCACAUUCAAUUGUUGUGCUCGCUACACUUCUGCUGCGCUCGAUCCUACACAGCCCGAGCCAAUCCGGUCGGCUCGCCAAGUGGGCCAUAGACUGAGCGAAUACGACAUCGAGUAUCGGAACGGGUCGUCUGCAAAGUCACAGGUGCUCGCAGAUUUUCUCAUCGAACUUCCAGCCGAAGCAACGAACGAGCCAACCCCGGACGAAGUAUGGACGCUGCACGUCGACGGCUCGUCAUCUAAACACGGCUCAGGAAUAGGAAUCCGCCUCACCUCUCCCACAGGAGAGAUACUGGAGCAGUCGUUUCGCCUAAACUUCCACGCCUCGAACAACGAAGCAGAAUACGAAGCAGAAUACGAAGCACUGAUCGCCGGUGUACGACUAGCGCAAAGAAUUGGAGUUCAAAAGAUAAUAACCUUUUGCGAUUCACAGCUCGUAGCAUGCCAGUUCAACGGAGAGUACGAGGUGAAAGAUGGACGAAUGGGAGCUUACCUCAACGUGGUCCGAGAGUUGGUGCAGAAGUUCGACGAGUUCGAGCUCACACAAAUUCCCCAAGGAGAAAACACCUCGGCUGACGCCUUGGCAGCACUCGCCUCGACCUCAGACCCAGACCUCCGACGGACGAUUCCAGUUGAAUUCAUCGAACGUCCUAGCAUCGAAGAGGUAGAAAGAGUUCGGCUGAUAAAUCCUCCCGAACAAGAACCGGAAGACGACAAAGCCAUUCCUAUGGACGAAGACGCCCUACCAGCCGAGCCGGAGUACGGCUGCAACAAAAAAUGGCUCGGAGCUAUCCGAGUAUAUAUCGCCGAUGGAGAAGUCCCAACCGACAAGUGGGAAGCCCGCAAAUUAAAAGCAUAGGCCACGCGGUAUGUCCUUGUCGACGGAGAGGUGUUUAAAUGGAGAUUUUCAGGACCUCUCAUGACAUGCGUCGAAGGACCGGAGGCAAGAAAGAUCAUGCACGAACUGCACAGCGAAGCGUGCGGAAACCAUUCUAGCGGAACGUCGCUCGCUAUCAAGAUAAAACGGCACGGUUACUUCUGGCCUACGAUGGUCAAGGACUGCGAAACAUUUACGGCAAAGUGCGAGAAGUGUCAACGGCACGCUCCAACAAUUCAUCAACCUACCGAGCUGCUCUCAUCAAUUUCGUCAUCUUACCCGUUCAUGAGAUGGUCGAUGGACAUCGUCGGACCUCUACAUCGAUCGAAGCAGAAGCGCUUUCUGCUCGUCCUCACGGGUUAUUUUUCCAAGUGGGUCGAGGCUGAUUCCUACGCAAGCAUAAAGGAUGUUCAAGUCGAACACUUCGUAUGGAAAAAUAUCAUCUGCAGACACGGGUCCCCUACGAGAUAGUCACCGACAACGGAUCCCAGUUCAUCUCGACGCGUUUUGAAGCCUUCUGCGAGAAGUGGAAAAUCCGUCUAAGCAAAUCUACACCAAGAUACCCUCAAGGGAACGGACAAGCUGAAGCAGCCAACAAGACAAUCCUAGACGGUCUGAAAAAGAGGCUCGACGCCAAGAAAGGACGAUGGGCAGACGAACUCGAAGGAGUCCUUUGGUCGCAUCGAACGACCCCGCGCCGAGCCACCGGAGAAACUCCAUUCGCUUUGGUCUACGGAGCGGAAUGCGUAAUUCCCCCCCGAGGUGGACUUCCCAGGUAUUCGACGAAGACUUCUACCAGGACAUGAGGGCUUAAACCACUUAAUGAUGCUAGAUGAGCUCGAUCUAAUCAACGAAAGGCGUGACCAGGCUUUAGUCCGAAUCCAGAACUAUCAACAAGCAACGGCGAGGUACUUCAACAAAAACGUUCGUAGUCGAAGAUUCAAAGAAGGAGAGCUCGUCCUUCGAAAGAUUUUCCAAAACACUGCCGAGAAGAAUGCAGGAAAGCUCGGAGCAAACUGGGAAGGUCCUUACAAGAUUACAAAAGUAGUUCGCGCAGGAGUCUACGAACUCGCAACCCUAGCUGACGAAGCGAUUCCAAGAUAAUGGAACGCAAUGCAUCUAAAGAAGUAUUAUCACUAAAGCUACAGUACGGUCAACAUGAACUACGGGACGGCUUGAUCCCUGCAAAGGGUACGUAGGCAGCCCGUCCUCGGACGGAUUCAGCUGUCCCCCCUCCUAAAAAGGGGGGGGGGGGAGUGGGUACGUAUACACAUACUUUCAUUUAACUCUACAAUUUUAGCUCACCUACCUAGGAACAUUGCCACUUCGGCACAUUUUCAGUUCGUUUUAAGUUAUCUACUUAUUUCAUGUUCACCUCGGAAUUCUAGUUCGUUCAUUAUCGCUUCGGCUAGUUUCUCAUUCUUUUAAAUCAGCAGCUUAUUUCAUAAUUCGCCUCGGAUUCUUUAAUUCGUUCACCCAUCACUUUGACAUGUUAUCAUGACUUAAUCGUCUCAGACCUUUUACUUGCCUUCACUUUCAGUUCGACAAAUUAAGUCUCCAGACGCCUCGUCUCGUUGCUGGCCACAACGGGACAACGGAUACAAAGUUCUCUAAACGGACUUUUACCACCUUUCUUAGGACGAGGGUGCAAGUUACAUCCUCUAUGAAUAAAAUUAAAGCGCGCUAUACAAAUAUCAGACCAAAAACGUAUCGGUCGCCACAGUUUACUAUCGCACACAGAUUAUAAGUCGAGACUACAUCGCUUUCUCUAAAACCGAAGUGAACUCUUAAAACCCGGCAAAACACACUCAUCCUCUCGGAAACGCCGGUCUAUGGUCAUAUUCAACGAGACUACUAUAUCCUCUUGAUCUUUCGCCUCGUCAAUGAGAAAACACAUAACUUACCUGAUAAAUACUUCGGCUUCUUUCUCAAAACAAUCUUAUAACAGCUCACCUCAAUGCGGACCUCUCUCAGUGACAGAAUGGAUAAACCCCAAAUCAUUUUUGGUUAAUAAAAACAAAACGCCUCGUCGUUUACACGGCUCGGCAUCAUGCAAAGAAAAACGCCUCGUCGUUGAACACGGCUCGGCAUUACCAACAAAAGUUGCCUGGAUAUUAUCACUUAACACUUUUUAGCGUCACCUAAAACAAAAGACGCUCCACAAACCAACUCCCAGCUCGGGAUUCAGAACUCAAACGGGAUCCUGAACAACUCACCCCUUAGCCCGUAUUUCUAUCAAUUUCAAAGAAUUCGGCUAGAAAAGCAAUCGAGAUCAUUCUCGACACAGCUCGAUAAGCCAAUCGGUGACAACUCUUUCCAAACAAACAGUUUUUGUAAACAUUUUCACGGAUCGUCAAGGACAAACGAAUCAAAUCCGAAAACGGCUAAGGAAAAGAUAAUAUAACCAAAUGGAAAAAUAACAGUCAGGUGGAUAAAGCCAUCCAGGCACCGGUUUCACAAGAUUUCAAGAAGCAGAUAACAUCACCUAAAAUCCUAAGUACAAAAGCAUGUGAGACGAAAAGAUAGGAGAAAGCGGAGAGGAUCAGGCCGCAGACUGCGUUUCACACUCGGCAAGGAGGUUCGAGAGGGCCGGCGUCUCCGCAUUCGAUCCGGUCGGAUCUACGACGCCCAGGUUGGCCGCUGUCUCCUCGAGCGGCUCGUUACCGAGACUGGUGUCCACCUAGUCCGGCGAUACGGGCGAAAAAACCAGGUUACCUCGAAUCUCAGAGGCAAUGCGCUCAUACGCCUCGUCGUCGGCGUACUUGCUCUCCCAGCUCUUCAGCUUCGCCUCCUCGUCAUCGAGCGUUGGGGCGUCCAGUUUCAUCAGGUCGGCAAUCAUCGCAAGAUUGCCCUUGAUCUGCCCCAGCUCGUUCUUGUCGGUUUUGGCCUUCUCGAGCUUGGCCAAACCUUCCUUUACCUUGGCGAGGCGUUCCUGAAACUUAUCCUUUGCCUCGAUACGCUUUUUGAGCAACGCCACCUCGGCGCUUUUAGCUCUCCUAGCCUCCUCCAGGCAAAUAGCCGAGGCGGAGACCUUGUCAAUAUUGGUGCAGAGAACUAUCUUCUCCUCUUCCAGCCUGGACACCCUGGUCAUCGCCUCGUCCAGCUUCCCCUUUGCCAACGCGGUCUCGUUCGGAGCCUCGUCCAAGCGACGUUCAACCUUAGACAGGUCCGUCUCGUAUUCAGCCAUCAGCUCGUUGAUGGUCGCUACAAACUGCAAGGAAUAAUGCGCGUUAAACACUUGGUACCACGCUGUGCCAUCGCGCCGUACGACCUCGGUCUCCUCAGCUUUUCUGGAGGAGGAAGACGCGUGUUCGCAUUAUUAACGCGCGCGAACAUUACUGCCGAGGCGUCAGGGUCGUCAACGACCAGUUUGCGCGCAGCGUGAUCACCGGGAGUCGACUUGCGCUUCUUCUUGGACGGCUCAUCUUUUGGAUAGCAACGCCCGCUGAACGUUUCCGGCUAGGGUCGUGCUUACGUACAACCGAGGUCGGGGGCCUCGAUGACUUCGGGAGAGCCAGAAUAGCGGAAUUUGAAGGAGUUUUACUCCGCGCCGCCGAGUCAUCUUUGGACGCCUCGGGAAUAAUCUCGCCCGGUUCCACCUCGGGCGCUGUUUCUUUUUCGGCCGCCUCGGCAACGUUCGCCUCCGUGGCUCGGACCGUGUCGUCACCUUCACGGCUCGGCGGAUCGGUCUGAGGGAUAGCCUCGGUCUCUGUUUGAGCCGCCUCGGCGGCUCGUCUCGCGGCUUCUUCCUCUUCACGCCUCUUCUUAUCUCUGAGAGUAAUGAUCACCAUUUUCUCUCUGGUAUCUCUUGAGGAGCUGGAAGAUGAAGAGCUAACAGGGACUCCGGCAAGAAUAGCUCGCGCUUUUUCUACUCUCUCAAGUGUGAAAUUCUUCCUCCAGUUAAGCUUCCGAGCCGAAAGGGAGUCUCGAACAAUAAAGAGGUCGUCGGGAAUCGGGGAAAGAAUAUUCCGAACUGCAAAAACAACGCAAAAAGAAAAAAGAUUCAGUAAGGGAAAAUGCAAAAAAAACAGUUCCGAGCCGAGGCAAAGCUUCGGAUCGGCUACCAAGUGUCCCCAAGCGGUCUUGGUUUUUUUAAUGUAAUCCUCGCCGACCGACGCCUCGUUCACCAAGACAUAGAAGAAGCGUUCGGUCCAAAACUGAAACUUGCUUGGAAAACCACCUAUAAUCCGGCGAUUGGACUUGUUAGAAAUAUAGAAUCUAUCUCCCUUCGGAGCUUUCCUGAUUUUCAGCAAGUUCAGUGAUGUGCUCGUGUCAACUACGUGAGGGAACAAGUUUUACCCUUAACAGGACAAAUGAAAGCCGCAAGUGCACAGCUAAUCAGUUAUAGUAUUUAGGGAUCGAAUCCACAGAGAUUUGUGUGCCUGGUAUUCUUCUACGGUUUUUUAACUUUAUGUCUAGACUAAAUUAGUUUUUAAGGUUGGUUGUUUUUCUUGCGAAUUAAACUAAAACAAAAGAAAGCAAAUAAAUCUAUCCUAAAAAACAGGUAAGAAAAUCGAAUGAAAUGCAAUUAGAAUAGGCAAAUAUCGAAUGAAAGACUAAUAAGGCAAGUAAGAUAUCGCAUGAAAAGUAAAUAAAGCAAGUAAAUAAUGAACUAAGGAAAUUGAAAUGCAGGUCUAAAAAAAGGCAAGUAAAAAUUGAUGGAAUUGUAAACUAUGGCUAAAAACGCUGAGCUUUUGGGAACUCUAAGGGAUCAUAAUCGGUUUUAACACUAAGGUAGAUAGAUUGGGAUUGACAGAUAACGAUAUAUGGGUUCUAGAGCUAGAGUACGGCGGUAUGACUACGUCACUGUCGUGAUCAUAACCAACUGCUUCUCGCAACCCUGACCAGUAGGUUUCCACUCUGGCCCUGGAAGGGAGAGAACGCAAGAGCUGCACAAGACUCGUCAAUACUCACGAUCUCGCCGCAGGUAGGUUUCCACUCCUACGGAAAAAUCGCCUGUUUCAUUCUAGGGCUGAUACUUAAUGAAAACUUUCGCAACACUAACUAUCUAGAUCAGAUACUAGGUGAUCAAUCAAGCAUACAUGCAAUAAGAACAAGAAUAAACAGAGAACAGGUCGAAAUCCCAGAUCUAUAAACCUAGAUGUCUUAAUCGAUUAUGAGAUCCCCUUUCGGGAACCCUAAGCCCAACUCGGGAUCUACUCAGACAUGGCUGAGUUCGACAUCAUCAUUGGUUUUAAUAAAAGUAAUGAAAAACAGUAAAGAAAAGAGAUAAAGAAAGCUUCUCUAUUGAAGAACUCGGACUUGAACAAUCUUCUACAAAAAUCUCAUAAAAAGGGCUAAAGGAAAAGGGUUUCUGUAAAAUAUGAAGGGUUCUCCUUAAAAACGACCUAAAUGACAUGUAUUUAUAGUCUCCAAUACUCCAUGGUCUCUAGGGUUCCAGAAUUGAGGCUGAGAAUGACUUUGGGCUUCAGAUAAGUGGGCUUUAACUCGGAGAUUGAUUGCCGCGGUCGGGAGUGUUGUGACCGCAGCAAUUGGCUUGUUGGCCGCGGUCGGGAAGCUUCUGACCGCGGCAAAUAGCUUGUUGGCCGCGGUCGGGUGAGUUGCUGACCGACUUCGAAUGGCUCCGGGGAUAAUGAAAUAUCUUGAGAUCCAACCGUUGGAAUGUCUCCAAACCAAGUGCAUUUGAAAGCUGGUUGAUUCUUCUAUAAGUUGUCCAAUGUUGAGGGUGAUCAGACGGUGAGAAGGUCUUCGUCUCUCCAUGAGAGUUCUGACGGUCUGCAUUUAUCCAAAAGAGUCUUUUUGUUCCAUUUUGUGCCUCUUUAUCCCAAAUUACCUGAAAAGUCUUUUAAAAUCUGGAAACAUAGAAAUCCUUUGAAAACCUUUGAAAAUGGAGUAAAAACACCUGUAAAAGAUAUUAAAAUAAUCCAUAAAAAUGGUCAAAAUCCGGUGUUAUCAUUCAGCAGGUGAUUCAGUUCGAUAUCAAGCCUGCACUCAAAGCUUCGAACCAAAAUGCCAAUCAUAUGCCGUAGACCCCUCGGCAUGAUCUGCCUAAUUGAGAUCCCAUGUUUCCAGAGGUAUUCAAGGAUAACUCCAGGGAUCGGGAACCAGAGAAAUCAAAGCUCGAAGAACGCCUCGUACAGAGUGAAGUGAUUCUCGGGAGGCUUGUCGUCUCGGUCGUUCUUAUCUGGAACGAUAAACUCCACCGCCUCGGAUAUCUCGAAACAACGCCUGAACGCCUCGAGUGAGUCAGGGGAGGAAUGCGUAGAACCAGGCGGGUCAGGUUUUUGUCUUUUCACCCGUUGCCUUCGCCCAGAUGAAGAAGCGCCUCAGGACGCCAUGAAACGUUCUAAUUCAUGCUUUGCCUCGAACAGAUCAAAGGGAAACGCCUCCUCCUCGGCUUUUACUGCAGCACGAUUAACGUCUUCGUCAAGAGCGGGACCCUGAGGCUGGCUCGUCGAAACCGACGGCUCGUCAUCUAGAGAGCGGGCGCCUGACGGAUUUGAAUGAUUCGACGCCUCGUCGCUUUCAGGUGAACGGUUGGAAGGGCUCGGCGAAAUGGAUGCCUCGGAAGAUUCUGUUGCACUUCUCGCCUCGGCAUUUACAUGGCUCGGUUCGUAGUUAAAAAGCGAAUCCAACGAAUCAUCAGAACGGUUCGACAUGAUUUACAGAUUAUACGGGAAUUACAAGGUUACACGGCGAACUUCCAUCGGAAAAAGAUCUAGAGCGGCGGAGACCUCAGAACCCUAGACGGAAAAUAAAUAAACAAGACAGAGAAAGAAGAGAGAAGGGAGAGCUACCUUUUAGUGAAAACGAGUGGAUCUGAAGAUUAUGAGAAGGAACAAAAGAGCUCACCUAUUUAUAGAAAAACCGAAGCGCGUGGGUUAUGUGUGAACCUCGGGAGACCGUCCAACAGCGCGUGGGAUCCGCGGCGUAUUAACUAGCUCCAACUGCGUCGGUUACACGCGCCAAUAAAUCAGGAAAAUUCUUUCGGAAGACCAACGGUUGGGAUACCUGAGUUUUCAGCCGACAUCUCGCCACAGUAAACGCCUCGUCGUUAACAAAACGGCUCGGCAUUAACUUUUUCUUGAAACGCCUCAUCGUUAUCAAAAUGGCUCGGCAUGACUUUCUCAAAAACGCCUCGUCAUUUAUUCGGCUCGGCAUGACCUUCUCAAAAACGCCUCGUCGUUUAUUCGGCUCGGCAUAAUAUUCACAAGUCGCCUCGCGUACAACCCUCUUCUAAGGAUAUCUUCCCAAACAGCAUAGACCGCGCCACGCCUCGUCGUUAAACUCGAAUCACGGCUCGGCAUUAUCAACACAAACGCCUCGUCGUUAAACUUGAAUCACGGCUCGGCAUUAUCAACGUAAACGCCUCGUCGUUAAACUAGAAUCACGCCUCGGUAUCCUUGACACCCUCUGGGAAUGCCUCGGCACUUUUUCGAAAAAGCGUCUCAUCACUAACGAGGCGGCUCGGCACAUUCUUCACAUAACCUCGCCAAAACGGCUCGCUACUACACACUGUCGAAGGGCGGCUCGGCAUCUUUAUUUCCAAAACGCCUCACUUGGGACUGUGUCGCAACAGCUCGACUCGAUGGUCUAUCCUAUGAACCUCGUCACUCUCGCCUCCGAAACUGACGAGCUGGGGGGCUAACUGUUGGGGUCGGUUUCACCCUAAUCGGUUUAAACCAUCUCAAUAACAUUGGAGAGCCGAUUCCGACAAGGAGAACCGGUGACCUGUCAAAAAUGGGCCGAGCCCCACAGAAGAAGGCCAAGCUCAAGUGGGCCGAGCCGUGAGGUGAAAAUGGGUGAGCCGCGUAUGAGAGCAGACGGGCCGAGCUGUGUCGUGAGGUAUGGGCCGAGCCGCACUUCAACAUGAUUGGACCGAGCCGCGCCUCACGAGUUAGGCCAAGUCACGUCUCAACUCGAAUGGCAAGUGGGCCGAGCCAUGGAGAAGGUUAGAUGGGCCGAGCUGUGAGAAGAACGGUGAGCGGGCCUAGCAGCGUGAGAGGAGGCAUGGGCCGAAUCGCUUCCCUGUGUGUUGGGCCGAGCCGGUUUUCCAAGAUGGGCCGAACCAAGGCUUUAGAAGACGAAAGCCCACAGAAGCCCUAGGUGAAGUAUUAUGACGGUGGCCGCACGAAGCGAUAAGGAAAUAUACCUAAAAUCUCUCCCAAGAUUCUCGGGAGAGGCGGUUUAAGAAGUUAGUAUAAAUAGGAGAUUUUUACGAUUCAUUAUGUAACUUUUGCCACCCUAAGCAAUAAGACCUAAACACUUUAACAGCAAUAAAAAUCCUCUUUUGAUCUUACUGUUCUUGCGAUUACCCUAGAUGUUUCGGAUCCCUUAGUUUUUCCCUUACAAAUUUUUGGUUGUGCGAGUUUUGGCUCACACAGGUAUCAGAGCUAAAUCGAUCUCUAGGAUUAUGGUUAUUUUCUUAUUAGAUUAGGAGAUAUCUAGUUUUAAUAGGAAAAGGAAAGUGGCUUAGCAAAGUUGUGCAAACCACUAUAUAUAUGUAAGUCAUUGAUGAUGUUGCAUCUAAGAGUAUUCGGAUGCAUCAGUUUUGCAAAGACAGAGGCUCAACACUUGAAGAAGCUGGAUGAUAGAUCACGAGUACUUGUUCACUUAGGAACGAAACCAGGAUCAAAACCAAGAAAAUAGUUGUGAGCAGGGAUGUGAUCUUUGAUGAAAGCAAAGGCUGGAAGUGGGGUGAGAAGGAAAUCAGUAACAACACUGGAAUUUCUAUAAUCAGUUUUGGAGAACACAAUUAUAAUAACUCAAGGGGAGAUGACCAUGAUCUCGAAGAAGAAACAGAGGAAAAGGAGGAAGAGAGUUCCGAAGAAGAGGUCACUGAGCAUGAAAUACAAGUUCCCAAACCCGAGACAGAGAUGAUAUAUCAAGGAGAAGAAGUUGAACAAGGACUAAGGAGAUCAACAAGGUCAAGAGUAAGCCCGAGUUAUCUCGAUGACUUUGUCACUUUAGCCAAGAUUGAUAGUGAACACCUAUUGCUACUUAUAAACGAAGAGCCAUGGGAUUGCAAUGAGCAAAAGGCUGAUAUCUUAACCAAGGCACUAGGAAGAAACAAGUUCAAGGAGAUGAGAUAUCUCAUUGGAGUUCUAGGUGUGUCACAAAAGGAUUUCAAGCUUAAGGGGGAGAAUGUUGGAAUAAGCUUGAAAGAAACUUGAAGUGCAACUUUCCUAAUCCUAAUCAAAGUGUGUUUUCUAGAAGGUUAGGAUUAGAAAAGGAAAUUUAGGAGUUAUCUAAAAAGGAAAUUUGUUUCUCUAUUGAAAUUAGGAGUUAUCUAUUCCAUUCUCUAUAUAAGAGUUGCAAAAUUUGUGGUAGACAUUAUGAGUUGAGAGAGUGAUUAAGAGAGACUUUAGUUUUUGAGUGAUUUUUAAACAAUGGAGAUACCAGGUAAUUAAUCUGGUAUCCCUUUCUCUCUGUUUGAAUGUUCAAACAAUUAUCUGGAGCUUCCCCAGAGCUUAUAAACAGGCUAGUACCAGAGCACGUUAGGCGACAGAUGAGUGGAGGCUUUCCAUUUCAAGCUGCUCCGUAUAAACGACUUCGAAACCAAGAUGCUUUGUUCUUGGUAGAUAAGCCCAUCAAGCUUUUGCUUGGGGAUGUAGAAUUUCAAUUAUUUUAGGGGCCAUUUAGUAUAAAUAUUAGUUGGUUAAGAUGGUGCAGUGAUCUAUGAAAAAAGUGUUUAUUUGUCAUUGUAUUUGGCAUAUUUUAUUUUUAAUCAACAUUAUAUUAUAGAAAUAACUUUUCUUAAACAAUUUAAAAUAAAACAAAUGAAACAAAAACUACAAAACUCCAUCGUCCACUUUACUGUUCGCAUCUACUAUUCAAAAUAAAGAAAAUAACAUAUAUAUUCUAAGUGGAGGUUAUUGGGGAUAAAACGUUUCCUAAUUUUAGUAACAACUAAUAGCAUUUGCAGAUUUUUGCAAGAAAAAAGAAGUUAAAUCCAUUUCUGAAUUGGAAAAAAGGUUUGAAAAUUUCUCAAAACAGAAAGAAAAGAAAAUAGUUAUAAAAAAAAAAGCAUAUAUGUAUUUCCAUUCCUAGACGAUUCUUUACCGAUCUUGCGUGGUGAAAAAAGUAAUACUCAUAUUUUUUCUAUGUUUGGUGUUGAAGAGAUUUUCCAAUAAUCUAUUAUAAAAGAUAAACUUACUAUUACGAAAGAAAAAUUAGGAAAAAAAAUCUGUAUAUACAUUGUUCACUCGAGCUAAAACUAUAGAAACUAAUGAAUAAUUCAACAAAAUCAGGAUUCUUUCUAGUAAUGAUGAAACUUAUUACAAAUAAGAAAGAGUACAAAUAUAUGUGAUCCCAGCUUACAAUGAACCUGCUCCCUACUUAGCAAAAACAAAACUUUUCCAACAAUGUUUUCUAUUCUAGUUGUAUUUAUUCCCCUAUCUGGUUAACCCCUCUACUUCAUUGUGACUUUGUAUGUUCUUCACUUUCUGGUCAAUAUAGAUAUGCUUCUUGUACAAUUACAUGUAAUCCCAGUUUCCCACUCCGAAACCAAACUUUCCCACAUAAGGUCAGCAAUCUAAAAUCUUAUAUAAACCAUCAUAAACAUAAACUUUAGAGCUAACACUGUUUUCAUACUUAAACCCUCUAACCACCCGUACCUCAAUAUCAUGGUACAUACUCCUCUCUAUUGCUAGAUUCCCACUUUCUAGAGCUUCUGAUGUUGAAUCUGCCUGUGGAGCUUAUCUUGACCACCGUGAUCUACCAGAACAUCUCCAUGUGUCUUCAUCAUCCUCGUAAUUACCUGAGACGAUAAUGCUGGUGGCUAUUGGUUCAUCUCCUGUGUAAGCCCACCAAGAACAGUUUCAUGACGGUAAAAUAAGACGUCGCUGAUCUCAACCCGAAGGGAUGGAACCCACUAAGUAUUUAUCCUGGGGUUGAGAUCGGUCGACGUGUUCUUUUACCGUCAUGAACUGUGCUUGGUGGGCUUACACAGCCAGCUACAACGUAGCUCCAAAGGUGAACCGAUAGUCAUCAGCAUUGUCAUCUUGGUAAUUACGAGGAUGAUGAAGACAUACGUGGCUUGUUACAUUAGUCCCAGAAAAGAACCAAAUGUUCUUUCUACAUCUCUUAUCAUAUAAGUCUUAUUGUCUGUUCUUUCUCUCUCUCUGUUUUGCUCCUAUGGCAUUUUUGUCUUGCUUUAGCUUGGGGUAAUAUCUCGAAUCAAUGUUCUUGUUACUCCCCUUCUCUUAUCAUAGGAAACUCAUUGUCUGUACCAUUUUCUAGUUCACAUGCCAAAGUCUUACCGUUUUAGAGUUUUCCUUAAACGCAAUCAUUUUGUAUUCUCUCUCUCUCCGUUUUGCUCAUAUGGCAUUAAUCUGUUGCAAAAAUGAUGCAGAUGAAGAAUAUUUUGACAAAACAUAAACCUUUCUCUGCUCGUUCGCUGUUCUGUCUUUCCUUCUCUCUACGAUAUCUGCAAGGCAAGAUAAAUGUUCUUUCUACUUCUCUUAUCAUAGGAGUCUCAUUGUCUGUUCUUGCAUGCCCACAUGCCGAAGUCUUAAUAUAUUUGAGUAUUUUCGAAGUUUGUUUGGUUGCUCAAUUAAACCAAUCGCAUUCAGUGAAGAAUUAAUGUGGAUUCCAUUUUCUAAACCAGACCCAUUUAUUGUGAUAGAUAAUACAUAUUUGGUAAGUUACAAACAAUAGAGAUGAAAAUUGCCCUAAGUAAAAAGGAAGAAGAAAUUAAAUAUCUAUCACACUACAAGACAUGUUUGGACCACACAAAAACUCAGGGUUUAAUAGUUUGAUCGUGUGUGAUCAAACUAACAUAUUUUUGAUUUUUGUUUUACAUUUGAUUUAUUUUGUGUGGUAUCAACCAAUGUUCUAUUUGUUUUACAAAGAACGAUAGGAGUCUCUUCCAAAAUUUCAUUCUACAUUUCAUAAUUCUUAUUGCAAAAGUUCACGAUAUCUUUUUUUGUUUGUCAUUCAUUUUAAUUUCUAGGCUGAGCUCAAAAUUUCUCGAAAAAUUUGUUGUAACAGUAUGGAGGCAGAAGCUACAACUCUUCUUUGGAUCAUGAUAUGUUUGGAUAAUCUUGGCUAUGAAGAGGUAAUUUCCGAGAGUGAUUCAAAGAUAUUGGAGAAAGCGGUAUAAGCUGAACCUCGAGAAUGGUCAAGGUUUAUAGUCUAUACCUGAGAAAUCAACAAGACAAGAAAAAUAUUAAUUCGACCAACCAUCACUUUCCAAGGAAGACGAGCAAACUAAUGUGUUGAUCUUACAGCCAAUAAAACCUCUUCAUAUGAAGUUCAUUAUGCAUUCUUGAUUAUAUUGUACGUACUCUUUGGUUGAGAAGGAGAAACGAAUUUAUAUGAAAUAUGUUUGAGCUCGAAAAAAUAAGAAAAAUAUGGCAUUAUGUUAAGGAAUGAUGAUAACUCUCCGAAAUUAACAGCAACAAAAAAAUGGAUGACAACUCCUCGUUUACUGGUUUGGAUUCUAUACUAUUACAUUUCGGUUAUUUUCUCAUUUUCACACUUUUCCAUUAUUUUAUAACAUGUUAUGAUGUCAAAAAGAAAUUACAACAUGAUAUAGUGAAAUACAAACGAUAUAACUAUUAAAGUAGCAUUAUUUUAUGGCAUUUUAAAUUUUUAAUUUUGGAUGAUGUUUACUUUUUUUAAUUAAUUUUAUUUCAAUUAGGUAUGUCUCAAGUGGUUAUUUAAAUUCUCUUUCGUUUCUAACAUAAAAUUUUGUUUUAUGUUUAUGAAACUUUUCGCCCGCGUAAAGCGCGGGCUAAAUACCUAGUUUAAUAUUUAAAAUGACACAAUCGUUUUACCAAAAUUUUUUACGUAUAGGAAAUGAUAAAAGAAAAACAUUUACUUGUAAAAUUUUAAAAAUAUAUACUAGAACAAAAAACCUGCUUGUACACGCAGGUGAUCAUCUAGUAGUUAUAAAAAUAGCAUAAUUGUAUGUAUUUCACACUCGUAGACAAUUCUUUACCGAUCUUGCGUAGUGAGAAAAAUAAUACUCAUACUAUUGUUUAUGUCUGGUGUUAAAAAGAUUUUCCAAUAAUUUAUUACAAAAAAAUAAAUUUAAUUUUCGAAAGAAAAAUUAGGAAAAAAUUUAUAUACAUGUUCAUUUGAAUUAAAACUAUGGAAACUAAUGAAGAAUUCAACAAAACCAGGAUUCUUUCUAGUAAUGAUGAAACUUAUUACAAAUAAGAAAGAGUACAAGUACAUGUAAUCUCAGUUUACAAUGAAUCUGCUCACUACUAAAAAAAAAAUGUUUUUUCCAACAAUGUCUUCUGAACCCUUUGAUCUGCUACUAUUAAUCCGAGAAGCAGAAACAUGUUUUCAGCCAAGUGAGAAUUCUUGAUUAUACCCACAUAUCUGCAUCUCCUAAAAUUGAGGUUCCAUACAUUUUCAUUGCUGGAUGCUUGUGAACGCAUACCAAGAUUUGGAUGCUCGUCGAGAGGUUGGGUCCUCUUCUAAAUCCAACACAGGUGAAUGGUUGAGAACUGGAGUGGAUGUUGUUGACUUAAGCAGCAGCAACAACAACAAUACAGAUAAAGCAAUCAAAAGACCAUUCUUGGAUUUGGGUGUCGUUUUUCCUACCAUCACCGUUAGCAACANNNNNNNNNNNNNNNNNNNNNNNNNNNNNNNNNNNNNNNNNNNNNNNNNNNNNNNNNNNNNNNNNNNNNNNNNNNNNNNNNNNNNNNNNNNNNNNNNNNNCUGAAAUCUUCGGUUUGGGGAUUGAGCCUGCUUAAGUCCGCAUUACACAAGCACAUGUAACAUCUCAGAAAAAUAACUUCAAAAUACGGCCAGCAGAUCAGCAGGAUACCGCUUUAUCGAUCUCCUUCACUUAACCGCGUAAUGAUUUUAAAGGCAUGGGGAGACAGUAAAAGCAAGAUUUGAACAUUAGAGUAUAUGUAUGGUUUCUGUUCCUCAGUUUACAUCAUCAGCAUCCACUCCAGUUCUCAACCAUCCACCUGUGUUGGAUUUAGAAGAGGAACCAACCAACCACUUAUAUCCAUUCUGCUCCUGGUGUCUUCCACAGAGAUGUGAAACUACAGAACCUUUUGGUAAGUUGAUCUUAUUGUGGGUUUGUCUUCGGUAACCAUUACUAGAUUGUAAUCCAUUUCUCUGGUGCGUUCUGUAGGUUGAUCCCCUCACUCAUCAGUGUAAGCUGUGUGAUUUUGGAAGUGCAAAAGUAUUGGUAAGGGUUUACCUUAUUUAUGUUGUUUUAUUAUUUUUCCACUGCUUAUGUGUUCUGUCUCAUGAAAUCAAUUGCACCUUAUUUGUUUUCAUGAUCUUUGCAACAUGUGACUAUUGACUUUAGGUGAAAGGUGAACCAAAUAUAUCAUAUAUCUGCUCUCGGUAUUACCGAGCUCCAGAACUCAUCUUUGGGGCCACAGAGUCUACAUCCUCCAUAGAUAUAUUGUCUGCUGGUUUUGUUUUGGCAGAGCUCCUUCUUGGUCAGGUUAGUGUAAACUAAUUUAUCCAUUAAGUAUCUUGAGAACUAAAGCAUCUCUCCAAUAUCUUUGACAAUCAUUUGAUAUUUAUUUAUCUUCAGCCGUUAUUCCCCCAAAAUUCUGUGGACCAGCUAGUGGAGAUCAUCCAGGUGAAGUCUCAUUUUGAUUUAGAGUUUACCUUGGCGUCAUUAUAGAAAAUUCCUAUAAUCUAAUAGAUUUUUCAUUAUGAUUAAAAUUUCGUUCUGUUUAGGUUCUUGGUACUCCAACUCAAGAAGAAAUCCGAUGCAUGAAUCCAAACUUUACAGACUUUAGGUUCCCACAAAUCAAAGCUCAUCCAUGGCAUAAGGUAUUUUAUAUGCAUGUUACGUUCUAACUUUUCUGAUCAUACAAUAGCUUAGUAGAAAAAUGAAAAGCUGAAACAAUACACAUACUACUUUAUGACCUCCAGGUUUUCUAAUAAGCGGAUGCCUCCAGAAGACAUUGACCUUGCAUCUCGGCUUCUUCAACAUUCAUCGAGCCUACGUUGCACUGCGGUCAGUAUCUCUAAACGACCAAGUAUUCUUAGUUGUUAGAGUGGUUCUCUCUGUUUGGACCUGCACUGUUUAAUGAUGCUGGGGCUUUUUAACUGACAUGUGUUAUGUUUCCGUGUCUAAAAAGCUCGAAGCAUGUGCUCAUCCAUUUUUCAAUGAACUACGUGAGCCCAAUGCUCGUCUUCCAAACGACCGACCUCUACCACCGUUGUUCAACUUCAAACAAGAGGUACGUUAGUCCACUUUCCUUAAACCAACCAUUCUUAAACCAAACCAUAACAGAUGUUAAGUUCAAACAGUUUCUUAAUCUUGUAUCUCUCUCUGUUUAAAUGUUAAAACAGUUAUCUGGAGCUUCCCCAGAGCUUAUAAACAGGUUAGUCCUAGAGCAUGUUAGGUGACAGAUGAGUGCAGGUCCAAACAGAGAGAACCAGGUUAGUACUAGAGCACUGUUCAAGCUGGUCUGUAGAAACAACUUCGAAACCAAGAUGUUUUGUUCUGGGUAAAAAAACCCAUCAAGCAUUUGCUUUGGGCACUAGAAUUUCAAUUAUUUUAGAGGCCAUUUUGUAUAAAUAUGAGUUGGUUAAUAUGGUGUAGUGGUCUAUGAAAAAUGUGUUUAUUUGUCAUUGUGUUUGGCAUAUUUUAUUUUUAAUCAGCAUUAUAAUUAUAUUAUAGAAUUAGCUUUUCUGAAACAACUUAAAACAGAACAAAUGAAAUAAAAACUAUAAAACUCCAUUGUCCAUCUUACUGUUUACAUCUACUAUUCAAAAUGAAGAAAAUAACCUAUAUAUUCUUAGGGGAGGUAUUUGGGGAUAACACGUUUUUUAAUUUGGAUAACGACUGAUAGCAUUUGCAGAUUUUUGCAAGAAAAAAGAAGUUAAAUAUAUUUCUGAAUUGGGAAAAAGGUUUAAAACAUUCUCAAAAAAAAAAGAAAAGAAAAUAGUUAUAAAAAAACAGCAUAUAUGUAUUUCCAUUCAUAGACGAUUCUUUACCUAUCUUGCGUGGUGAAAAAAUAAUACUCAUAUUUUUGUCUAUGUUUGGUGUUGAAGAGAUUUUCCAAUAAUCUAUUAUAAAAGAUAAACUUACUUUUACGGAAGAAAAUUUAGGAAAAAAAUCUAUAUAUACAUUGUUCACUCGAGCUAAAACUAUGGAAACUAUAAUGAAGAAUUCAACAAAAUCAUGAUUCUUUCUAGUAAUGAUGAAACUUAUUACAAAUAAGAAAGAGUACAAAUAUAUGUAAUUCCAGCUUAUAAUGAACUUGCUCACUAUUUAGCAAAAAAAACUUUUUCCAACAAUGUUUUCUAUUCUAGUUUUAUUUAUCUCCCUAUCUGGUUAAGCCCUCUACUUCAUUGUAUAUUCUUCACUUUCUGAUCAAUAUAUAUGCUUCUUGUACAGUUACAUGUAAUCCCAGUUUCCCACUCCAAAACCAAACUUCUCCACAUAAGGUCAGCAAUCUGAAAUCUUAUAUAAACCAUCAUAGACAUAAACCUUAGAGCUAACACUGUUCUCGUACAUAAACCCUCUAAUCACCCGUACCUCAAUAUCAUGGUACACUAAAUUCCCACUUUCUAGAGCUUCUAAUGUUGAAUCUGCCUGUGGAGCUUAUCUUGACCACCAUGACCUGUAUAAACCAGAACAUCUCUAUGUGUCUUCAUCAUCCUCGUAAUUACCUGAGACGACAAUGCUGGUGGCUAUGGGUUCAUCUCCUGUGUAAGCCCACCGAGCACAGUUCAUGACGGGCAAAGAAUUUGUUGUUAAUCACGAUUACAGCUUGUAAACUUUUUCAGGUUCCGUUCUCGGCACAAGUAGUACAAGUUGUGAAUAUUCUUUAAUCUAGAAUGAGACUGGAACACCUUAACUCCACAGCCUCUUAAUCCUAUGUGCACAAGAUUCGAUACGCAAUUACGUUAGCCUGUCACAUGUCGACGUUAUUAACUAUCAUAUUAGAAUUUAGCCAGGUUAUUCUAAUCUGGAAAUUUUUCGUAAUAUAUGAGUGUUGAUGCGGACCAUCUGAAAAUGUCUAUUUAAUCCCAUGUGGACGUCACACNNNNNNNNNNNNNNNNNNNNNNNNNNNNNNNNNNNNNNNNNNNNNNNNNNNNNNNNNNNNNNNNNNNNNNNNNNNNNNNNNNNNNNNNNNNNNNNNNNNNAUGAACUGUGCUCUCAGUGGGCUUACACAGCCAGCUACAACGUAGCUCCAAAGGUGAACUGAUGGCCACCAGAAUUGUGGUCUCAGGUAAUUUGAGGAUGAUGAAGACGUAUGUGGCUUGUUACAUUAGUCCCAGCAAAGAACCAAAUGUGAAGGCGCAUUUGGAGCUGUGUAAGCUAAAGCAUCCAGGAGAGAACUAUCUCGGUAAUAUUAGAGUGAUGAGAGUUUAGGAUUGGAAGAAUUGUAUUGAAUGUACAUAGUAGCUACAUUUAUAUAGAGAAUGAAUUAACCUAAUAAUCUAACUAAUAAACUCAUAUAAAGAUAUUUACAAAUCUCUAGAAUAUAUUCACAAUAUCUUCUUUUAUCAUAUGGAUCUUCUAGAUCCUUCUAUACGCCCCCUCAAGCUCAAUGUGUGAUGGAGCGAAGCGGAAUCAAUGGUUUGAGAUUGACUUCAGAUUGAUCAAGUAAGAGCUGGUGUAUUCUUUGGACUUUGUGGAAGACGUUGAAUGCACGUGCUGAACAAGCGGAUGGGAGGACAACAAACCAUGACAACGAGGCGACAAAGAUGCAAGAGAGAUGCGAUAUGAUUGCGGUGAAAGCCUCAAUAGCAUGAAGAACGGUGUUGACCAUGGCGGUUUUGAGCCAGUGGGAUGUGGCAGUGGAAACUGUGCUUGGGUGGAGAUAGGCUCGUGACUUAGUUUCUUGAGGAAGAAGAAAUAGAGUUUAUUUUCUUCCUUUUUAUGUUUUUUUUUAAUUUUUUUUAUUGAAAGAACACGAUGAAAACUUUUUUUAUAUAUAUGACUGAAAUCAAAAAUCAAAAAUUGGAACGAAAACUUGUAGAACAUGUUUUUUUUAAUAGAAUAAAAAAUACAACGAGAAACCAAAAAGAAAAAAAAAUAUAUAUAAAAUAUCUAAUUUUUAUUUUCUUUUGAAUGUAUCAAACCUAAUUAGAACGUAGAAAAAUAAAACCAACGCAGCCACUUAUUAUUUAUUUUUUUGUGAAUAAGAAAAAGAGACAGAUAGAGAUGGGAAGGGGAAACAGAGAGGAAGUAGACCAGCCAUUUGUGUAAGAAGAAGCAAAUGACGGUGAAAAAGAAGAAAUGUAGAGAGAAAAAGGAGUUUGAUCGUUAGAUCUAUAACUCGGAAACACUCUGGCUUAGAUUCAGAGGUCCAUGAUAUAAUUAAAUUUUAGAAGCACUUGGCUUAAGAAAAAAAAUGAAAAAGAAGUUUGAUCACCAGAUCAAAACUUUGGAGCAAACCUGCUAUGAUACCAUAUUAGAGUGAUGAGAGUUUAUGAUUGGAAUAAUUGUAUAUUGACUCACAUUGAUUGAAUGUACAUAGUAGAUACAUUUAUAUAGAGAAUGAAUUAACCUAAUAAUCUAACUAAUAAAAUCAUAUAAAGAUAUUUACAAAUCUCUAGAAUAUAUUCACAAUAUCUUCUUUGAUCAUAUGGAUCUUCUAGAUCCUUCUAUAAUCCGAGCUAAGCUUGGACUAUGGGUCAGCAGAUGAACUGAACGGGAAGCUCUUAAUCUGUAACUGAGUAGCUUCUAUAGCUUGUUUCUGUAUUUUUCUAUGUCUUUACCGAGAUAGCUCUCCGGGAUGCUUUAGCUUGAGGCAUUUUCUCAAAUCAAUGUUCUUUCUACAUCUCUUAUCAUAGGAGUCUCAUUGUCUGUAUUCUCUCUCUCUCUGUUUUGCUCCUAUGGCAUUUCUUUCUUGCUUUAGCUUGGGGUAAUAUCUCAAAUCAAUGUUCUUGCUACUCUCCAUCUCUUAUCAUAGGAGUCUCAUUGUUUGUACCAUUUGCUAGUUCACAUGCCAAAGUCUUACCGUUUUAGAGUUUUCCUUAAAUGCAAUCAAUUUUGUAUUCUCUCUCUCUCUCUGUUUUGCUCCUAUGGCAUUAAUCUGUUGCAACAAUGAUGCAGAUGGAGAAUACUUUGACAAAUUAACAUAAACCUUUCUCUGUUAGUUCGCUGUUCUGUUUUUCCUUCUCUCUUCGAUAUCUGCAAGGCAAGAUAAAUGUUUUUUCUACAUCUCUUAUUAUAGGAGUCUCAUUGUCUGUACUUGCAUGCUCACAUGCCAAAGUCUUGCCAUAUUUGAGUAUUUCCGAAAUUUGUUUUGUUGCUAAAUUAAACCAAUCACAUGAUUCAGUGAAGAAUUAAGGUAGAUUCCAUUUUAUAAACCAGACCAAUUUAUUGUGAUAGAUAAUACAUAUUUGGAAAGUUACAAAUAAAAGAAAUGAAAAUUGCCCCAAGAAAAAAAGAAGAAGAAAUGAAAUAUCUAUCACACUACAACAAGACAUGUUUGGACCACACACAAACUCAAGUGUAAUUUAAUCGUGUGUGAUAACUAACAUCUUUUUAAUUAUUUUUGCUUUUACAUUUGAUCUAUAUUGUGUGGUAUCAACCAAAUGUUUUAUUUGUUUUACAAAAACCGAUAUGAGUCUCUUCCAAAAUUUCAUUCUACAUUUCAUAAUUCUUAUUGUAAAAGUUCACGAUAUCUAUUUUUUGUUUGUCAUUCAUUUUAAUUUCUAGGCUGAGCUCAAAUUUCUCGAAAAUUCUGUUGUAACAUUAUGGAGGCAGAAGCUAUAACUCUUUUUUGGAUCAUGACAUGUUUGGAUAAUCUUGGCUAUGAAGAGGUAAUUUUUGAGAAUGAUUCAAAGAUAUUGGUGAAAGCGGUAGCUGAACCUCGAGAAUGGCCAAGGUUCAUAGUUUAUACCAGAGAAAUUAACAUGACAAGUAAUAAAAUAAUUUGACCAACUAUCACUUUCCAAGCAAGGAAGACAAGCCAACCAAUGUGUUGAUCUUACAGCCAAUAAAACUUCUUCAUAUGAAGUUUUUUUUUUAAGUUCUUCAUAUGAAGUUCAUUAUGCAUUCUUGAUUAUAGUACUCUUUGGUUGAGAAGGAGAAACGGAUUUAUAUGAAAUAUGUUUGUGCUCGAAAAACAAAAAAAAUGUGGCAUCAUGUUAAAAUGAUGAUAAUUCUCCUAAAUGAACAACAACAAAAAAAAAUGGAUGAUAACUCCUCGAUUACUGGGUUUGAUUCUAUACUGUAUUACUUGUCGGUUAUAUAUUCUCAUUUCCAAUUAACUUUUCCAUUUUAUUAUAACAUAUUAUGACGUCAAAAAGAAAUUAUAACAUGGUGAAAUACAAACGAUAGAACUAUUUAAGUGGCAAUAAUAAGAUGAUGUAAGAAUCUGAUCUGAUACUACAGCAAAUAGAUAUUUGUGCUUGGGUAUGCCUAGAUAUUAUAAGCAAGUUGGUCAUAAAUACAAAUACGUUCUGAAAAUGUACCAAAGAGAUAUCUAGCAACCUCCUCCACCACCACCACCGCCACAACCUCCUCCUCCACCACAACCUCCUCUACCACCACAACCUCCUCUACCACCACAACCGCCUCCACCGCCAGACGCUCCAAAAAUAUAUGGUCUAUGUUUCGUCUCAUUUUUUUCAGAUUUUUUUUCACCGGUGCAAACAAAUACGGCCAUGGCUAUUACGGAGAAGGUGGCUGCAACCACCAAUAUCCCACAAACUAAACCAAAGCCACUGGUUCGAACGUCGCUCAAUAUGCUUCUCACCAUAUUCUCUUGUGUAUAUUUUGGUUAAGUUUGAGACUUUGGAUUCGGUUUUGGUAAGGAUUUAUAUAUGCUUUUGGAUGUGUGAGAAAUAAAAAGCAUUAUUUGUAGGUAAUUCUUUAAUGGACAAUGUUGGCUUACCGCGUACGUUAGGUGUGUCGGUGUGUGGUUACGUAAGAGUAAUACGUAAAAAUCUACAAGUUUCUUUGAUGUCAUGUAAGAAAAUUUUGGUUUAUAUGAGGUGGCUACUUUUCAACGUGCUUAGAUUUGGUUCAAUAUAAGCGAUGCUUAAAAGUCUUAUGAUAAGGUCCCUCUGGCUACUUUUCAACGUGCUUUAACAUUUGGUUCUAUAUGAGGGAUGCUUAAUAGUCUUAUGAUAAGGUCCCUGGACUUUCAUGGAUGGUCGUAAUCCAUACCUUGGAAUAUUUUGUUUACUAAUUCAUUAUUUGGUUUUGAAAAUUUGAAACAAAUUUAUAUUAGAUUCUGCAUUUACUUGAUAUUUUUAUGUAUAGACCUUUGUGGAACCAACCCAUUUAUUUGGGGAGGUUAAUAUAAUUGUUAGAUUAUCAGCAUGUUCUAUCUGUCAUUUAACUAGAUAUAGAUUGGUUAGUAAAGUAAAUCAGUCAUAAUCGGCUAAGACCUAAGGUCAAUUCAUUUUCUAAAAUCAAAAACAUUUAUUAUGAUAGAUAUUUGGCUAGUGGUAUAUGCUCGUACUCAUAAAAUAAUCGAAUGAUGUUUGUAUACAUGCAAGUCGUCCUCAUUUAAUUUUCUAAACCAAAACCAUAUAUGAUCAACGAGAUUUUGGUUUGUAUAUGCUGAGUCGCUAAUCGUACGUAUUCGUAGUUAAGUAAAACCAAAGACACUCACCAAAGACCAAGAGAUAUCUCACUAGCAACCUCCUCAACCACCACAUCCGCCUCCACCAAUGCAACCGCCACAGCUACCCGAAUCCUUCUUCUUUUUCUUCUUUUUGGAGCAAAGCAAAGACCACCAUGGAUACAAGUGAUAAAGACAGAAGAAUCAUGAAGAUCAAGAACAAAACAUCCCUAAAAGGCCAAAAGCAGUAGCUUCUUUCAUAUCUAUCUACCUGAUGAAGAAACCUUUUAAAUUUUUUUUUUCUUUUUACUUUCUCUAUAAACAUUUGAUCCUUCCAUGACACUAAAAGUAGUUGAAAUUUGAAUUUAUUACACCAAUAUAUUGUUGCAAUCUAGUCAAGGUAUUCAAUUCAAUUCUGCAGUUUUCAGGUUUCCUUUCUAGUGCUCUCUCUA
This 81099-nucleotide long non-coding RNA is filed under the name Eutrema salsugineum. RNAcentral describes it as "long non-coding RNA (ESAL_LNC001937)". The stretch from base 54591 to 54695 matches the Rfam family "Plant small nucleolar RNA R71". The record is from RNAcentral. Lineage: Eukaryota; Viridiplantae; Streptophyta; Magnoliopsida; Brassicales; Brassicaceae.